UGGUUCAAGGCCGGCUCCCAGAUCUUUAGCGAGGGCGGCCUCGACUACCUCGGCAACCCCAGCCUUAUCCAUGCGCAGAGCAUCCUCGCCAUCUGGGCCUGCCAGGUCGUGCUCAUGGGCGCCGUCGAGGGCUACCGCAUUGCCGGCGGCCCACUCGGCGAGGUCGUCGACCCGCUCUACCCCGGCGGCAGCUUCGACCCCCUCGGCCUGGCCGACGACCCUGAGGCCUUCGCCGAGCUCAAGGUCAAGGAGCUCAAGAAUGGCCGCCUCGCCAUGUUCUCCAUGUUCGGAUUCUUCGUCCAGGCCAUCGUCACCGGCAAGGGCCCGCUCGAGAACCUGGCCGACCACCUCGCCGACCCAGUCAACAACAACGCCUGGGCCUACGCCACCAACUUCGUCCCCGGCAACUAAGCUCGCCAUUCGCCUCUGCAACUCCAUUGUCUUCCGGCCGGGAGGGGCGUACGUGGAUUGGUUGAUGCUGCAAGCGAGCUGCCGCAUGCGUGUCUUGUUUCACGUUGCAUUUCAGGGGCAAGUCGAGAUGAUGAGUCGGCGUUGUACACUAAGAUGAUGUUUGUGCAAUAGUAGUGGUUUUGUUCCCUGGUGGUUAACCUUUGAUUUGUCUGAUUAAGGGCAUCUCUUAAUUUGUUACUGUCUACAACUCCUUUUAGAUCCUUGAGCUAAAGUUUAUUCCUUAUCGUAUCGAAUCUUCGGAUGCUAAUUAAGAUGACUAAAUAUGAGCUAAUUAUAAAACUAAUUACACAUAUGGAGGCUAAUUCGCGAGACGAAUCUAUUAAAUCUAACUAUAUUCGUCUCGCGAAUUAACCUGUGCAAUUAAUUUUUUAAUUAAUCUAUAUUUAGACGAUGUGAUAUAGAUCACCGCGGAACCAAACGGGAGAUUAAACGUAUAAAUAUAUAUAUAUCGCAGACCUCGGCAUGUUUCAUCCUGUGAUACAUGCCACGUGUCCACUAGACAGUGCUGGUGCCGGAAGAAAAAAAGAGGAUCGACGGUGACUGCACUUUUACCGUAUCAGCUACUGACAUGUGUACCGUGUUCUUUUUUUUACCGUCCAUGGGCCGUUGUACUCUGGUUUCCUUAAGCCGUUUCGUACGUUAGGCUUCGGCCUACGUGUGCGUCGUCAGUGUGUGUCCAGUGUUGUGGCCUACUGUUUUGCCGCUUAGUUGCCUUCAAACGCUAUAUGUAAAUUAACAGUUGGUGUAUAUCUAAUCUGGACAAUUGUUGAGCUUGUUAUCUACAUAUUUUAGUAUGUUCUUGUAUUAACCCGUCUCUUGACACUUGAAAUAAUUCCAUUUUUCAUAUGUAUUGUAUUUUGGAGAACCUUCUAUUUUUUGCAGGAAAUUGGACUGUAUCGAGGUAUAAUUGGACAAGGUUCUGGACAAGCAACAACAUAGAGAAAGACGAAGGCCAACGGGUCCAAAAAGACCUAGGCCAGGCUGAUCGGCCUAGAGUCCUCAGGGCCCCGAUCAUGCUCGUUCUUGGCGAGCACUCCUAGGCCGAUCGGCCUGAGGUGUUCCUUCACCCGAUUACCUUCCAAUUUCUGCCACGAGCUCUUCAAACUAUGAAUACCCCAAAAAUUCAGAGAGCCCCGGCAUUCAUCCGCCAGAACUCGACGAAACCAAAGGUAUACACCAAAGGGAGCUGAGGCCCACUGCAAGUCUUCGGAGUUGUCUUGGAGAUGGCUUAGGCCGACCCUAGCCACCAUGGCCUCCCUGCACGAUUGUGCCAUGGUGAAGUUCAGGAGAGCCAGUAGUAGAUCGUCGAUGGUAUGUACUCAGAGGUGAUGAUCUAAAUACAUCUAUUAUAUGAGCAACGUUCUUCAUGUCAUCUGAUCUAUUAGCGACUUGUUGUCUCCUUCUAUGCUUUCUACUUAUCAUGAAUAUGCUUGUCCCUUAGUCUAAUGCUAGUUUAGACUACAUAGCAUGCUUUAUGUAAUCUUGGUGAUUAGAUCUAGUAUGUCGAUCCUUCAUGAUAGCUAGACAUGUUCACCUGUGUUCGUACCCUUAAAUUGCCUGCGCCGAUAGGGGGAUCGUGACGGGGUCUGCUUCCGUGUAGGGUGGGGGUUUUCGGGAUGUUGACCGGAGGUAGUAGUAGUUUAAAGAUUGCUUUGGAUGAGAUACAUGAUGUGCUUGCUUGUUGGCUAGAACUACAACUAGAAGAUGAUAGGCUCUUUCUACCCUUGGUGGUGUUAUAUCAUAUAUAUCUGUGGAUGUGAUCUACACUUAUUCAUGCCAUUGAUCUUUACAACAAAUUUGCCUUCAUAUGCAAUCAAUGCUUCGUGUUAGAACUAAUCCGUUAGAUUAGAUGGAAAUCCAGAGUCAGUUUGCUGCCGAUCCACGGAUUGAUAAAUCUUGGAUAUAAUACUUUAAGAGAAAAGCUAUGAUGAUCCGUUCGUUUACGGUUUACGACUUAACGUGUUAACUACCGUCAACAACAAUGUAUGUUUGUAUGGAUACACCCGGUACCAUUUUUUACAUGUCAAACAUAUUAUGCAGUUGCAAAACAAAUGGUUUAUUGUGGCUCCUGUUCAACUUCCGUGGCUCGAUAGAGAAACACUUAUUCAUAUCGGCUCAUCUGUGCCCGACAUAAAUGAGCCGGCAUGGAUAAGUCAUCCAUAUCAGGUUGAAAAUGAGCCAGCGCAAACAUUCAAUUAUCCCUGGCUCUAUUAUUCAUGCUGCUGUAAUUUUGAGCUGGCACGAAUAAUCCAUUUUUCAUGCUAGCUCGAAAUUGCAUCGGCACAAAAAAAAAACUCCUAUCUAUGGAAUUCGAAUUUUAGCUUAUAUUCAAAUAAUUCGUAACUUGUGCGUUCAAACUCGGAUGGAGACAAAUUUUAUAUCAAAAUUGUACAGUUUCACCAGAUCUACAACUUAGUUAAAUAGUUUUUUAUUUGAAGUCAUUUAGAUGCUCAAAUUGUUGAUCACAAUACUAGACAACAAGGGUAAAAAAGAAUAAAACUUCCCUUUGUGUGCAUAUAUGUGGUAUAUGUGUGAUGGUAAUGAGGUAUCGUGCGAGGGGGAGGUUGUGAAUUCGAAGGCUAGACACCUCACACAUGUGACUUCUGACUAUAGAGUGGCCUCCAUGCCUAGAAAAAAAAUAUUUUGCUAUAAGUUUUCAUUUUUACUAAUUGUGUUGGCGCAAUUUUCCACCAGUAGGUACAAUCUGUUAUUCGUGCCGGCGGAAUUGUCCACGGUACGAAUAAUUCGUUAUUCGUGCCAGUCGGCACGAAAGCUGUUCAUGUUCGCAUCGGCUUCGUGGUGCCGGUUUGUUUAAUUGCAUGAAUGAGGUUUUCGUGCCAGAUGAGAUGAGGUGCUCUGCAGCAGUGGAGGGCCACAAAUUUACAUGUUACAUGUAUAGUUCCAUUCGUGUGACGUAGUGAACUAAUGAUCGGGCCACACAUUUACCAUAGAGACUAGACUAUUCGUUCUGAGCCAUAAAAAAGUUCACAAUUCCUUAUGUGCCAUUAAAAAUGUUUUGUUGCCUUUCCAAUCAUCGUAUCAAAUUUUUGAAUACCUCAGUGCCACUGCCGUCCAUUACCGUCAGCUCUGUUGCCGUGAACCCCUAAUUACAUGUCAGUUCUUUUCACAAAUGGCCAUUUUGCACUUCCAUCGUUUCAUUUCAGUUCACCGGUCAUUAUUCAGUCAAUCAGUAUGCCGCUUCGUCGGAAGAAAAUUAGGUGCACACCGGAUGCAAAACGCAUCCGGUACAUACCCGUGUGCUCGGCCGACGCGUGGAGGGCGCCCCAAAUCCGACGGAAGCAAUCGUUGGGUCCAGCGGCUCGUCGCGGCGCGGCUCGGCUGCAUGGCUCGAUAACGCACGGCUGCAUGGCUCGAUAACGCACGGCUGCAUGGCUCGGAAGGGAAGGAAUAGGCGGUGCCGUACGUUGAGGUCCUUCGGGUCUCCAGCUUCCGGCAGCCGGCCGUACGUUGCCUUCGGUGGAUACCUCCUGCACACAUACGAGUAGAGCACGACGACGAACAACGCCAUGAGUGUCAAGCACCACCCGAACUACACGUUGAUGACGGCCUUAGUGUGGUGCUCGCUUUCGUCGCUGUGGCAGCGGAUAGAGAGGCCGCCAUCCUUGAGUGAGUAGCCAUUGGCGAUGAGCCCCGGGAGCCACAUGACGCCGAUGUCCAUGAACCACACCCCCUGGAACGUGAGUGCCACCGACCGGAUCAGGCUCACCGUGAAGCUUUGCGGGAAGCUGGCGUCGAGGAGCGCGGUGGCGAGGCGGCGGCGACGACGGCCUGCAGGAACCAGUGGAACUGGCCCUUGACGCCGGCGUGGUCGGAGGAGUGGACGUGGAGCAUGAAGAGCUCCUGCGCGUAGACGAGCGCCAUGAGGAGCGUGCAGAGCGUGCGGCGGCCCCGCAGCCACCAGGAGCGGUCGAGGUACGCGGCGGCACCGGUGUAGAGGACGAGCGCGGUGUAGAUGACGGUCCGCCGGCCAGAUGGAGAAGGUGGCGGCGGCCCAUAUGGAGGAGGCGGCGGCGGCAAGUGCGUCGCCAGGAGAUCACGAGGCGGCGGCUCGCGUUCCCCAAACCCUCACCCAACUAUUCCUUCCCUGCCGAGCCAUGCAGCCGUGCGUUGUCGAGCCAUGCAGCCGAGCCGCGACGAGCUGCUGGACCCAGCGAUUGCUUCCGUCGCAUUUGGGGCGCCCUCCACGCGUCGGCCGAGCGCAUGGGUAUGCACCGGAUGCGUUGUGCAUCCGGUGUGCACCUAAUUUUCUUCCCGCUUCGUCUUGCUUUGCUUGAUGCCCCUCUUACAGCUUUGGGCCCAUCUGCAAGGCUCCAAGCCAACAAAUGGCAUCACGUUGUCGCGCCUGGCCACCGAGUUGACCUCCAGUCCAGCGACCAGCAUCCACACCAACCGCGAGACGGCGCAUCCUACAGUGACAUGCGCGGAUAAGUUAGCGGACACGGCAAUCUCUGCUAUGUAGCAGAACGAGGCCAUGCUGCGGUCUUGCGGCGGGGACCGAGCACCGUGCACCGGUGUGGCGGUGCCAAGCCCGGCUCCUUGCCGCGACUGGCGUCGAGGUAGUCCUUAACGCAGCCGAGCGCGUCCUCCUGGAAAGCCUCGACCUUGAGCUGCUGCCCCUCAUCACACAGUCGCUGGCGCGGUCAGGUUCUGGAGGCAAAGGGCUACACAGCUCCACGCGCGCAGGGUGCCGACUACCGAGGGAGACCUGCUGCAGCCUGCAGGCAACAAGUAGUGCCGCCACCCCGCCGCGCGUGGGCAAGGCUGCCGCGGCGUCCCACGACGCGACCGUGAGCGGGAGCAGCGCAGGCAGCUCGGCACCGCCGGAUCCAGCACGCUGCAGUGCAGAGGUGGGGCACAACGACGGCGCUUGGCACCCUGUGUACGACCUGUGGCGCAAGAAGACCUGGAGGACGCCGCCGCGGCGGGCACCGCCUCCUGUAGGCGGAGGCACUCCGCGAGGCCGGCCGGGGUCCCCGGACUCCGGAGGCUCGAGCCCAAGAUGAAGAAGAGUUCAGACCGGAGCGAUGAGCAGCGUCAGCUAGACGAAAUCGAUGAAAUCGUCGUGCGAGACUGAGAGAGGAGUAGGGGAAUAGAAGGGCAAGAUGGACAUUUUGGCUCGCCGUGAGCUCCCGUUCCCACUGAACUGGACGGCAGUGGCACUGAGGUCUAAACAAAAUUGAACUGAUGUCACGAAGGGCGUGAGAACUUGGUGCGUAAAGAAUUGCCUCUUUACCAUAUACCUUCACCUGCAUAGUGUAAUAUAAUGAACUAAUGAUCAUUUCAUUUGAUCUGCACUCUGCACUGUAGAAGCUGUUGUUUUUAGUCUAUUGUUAUUAAACCUAUAAGAGAGUCUUUCACUAUGCCAAUUUUCAAAUGUCCUAAUUAGAUAAUUGCAGAGACCGAACUACCGCCGUGCCACAUUUUCGCACUAUUCAUGCUAUUGCUGGCAAUCUUUUCAUUCAGUUCAAGCCUGCCAAAAAUGCAAACAUAUGAGCAGAGAGAGACUUGCCGCCCUUUUAAUGCAGUAUAGAGGGAAGUUUAGGCUAGAAAUUUAGAACAAAUACUUGACUACUAAUGUAGCACCAACAACAGGGAUACAAGCCUAUAGCGGGCGCGGCGGAGCGCGCCGCUCUUCCAUGAGAACAGGACAUCAGUAGUUCUACCAAAUUCUUAGCGUCUACCUAUUUGGCUAUUUGAGCACAGUUUAUCUCGUAUUCACCAAAUUGAUUUUGCGACUUUGCACACUCGCUCGCACACGCAGGCGCAGCAGCGAGCAAGCCAGCUAGCUAGUCGAGGCGGAAGAAACUGAGCCAUAGCAGCAGCAGCAGCAGCGGUGGACUCCUACGUAACUUACGGAAGCUGGUUAAGGCGUACUCCUCCGUGUAGAAAAAGUAAGUCGUUUUGGACAGCGAUAUGGUCUUCAAAGUAUUACUUUGACUGCUUAUUUUUAUAAAAAUAUUUAUCAAAAAGUGAUAUAUGUAUAUUUUUAUGAAAGUAUUUUUCAAGACAAAUAUAUUUAUAUGGCUUUCACAUUUCCAAACUCAACAACUUAAAAGUUAUUCAUGAUUUAUAUUCCUAAUGUUUGAUCCAAACCUUGUCCAAAACGACUUUCUUUUCCUAUACGGAGGGAGUACAACUUUAAAGUCCGUUCGACCCAUCUAACGUAACCAUCGCAGCACAUCAAUCUUUCUUCAUAAAUAUUAUUCAACAUUUCCUUACACUUAUUCAACAAUCCGUAAGUCCUAUUUCAACAUUUCGAAUAUGCUAACUCAAUAUUGCACGGAGAUUAGAUAUUUAUUUUUGACUUGCUCCCCCACCUCACAUAGAUUUUUCCACGUGUGAUACACGCUUCAACAUUUUCUUACAACUGAUCAACAAUCUGCAAACCCUGAUACAUCAUUUCGAAUAUACUAAUUCAACAUGUCACGGGGUCAGAUAUUUAUUUAUAGUUGGCUUGGGAUGAGGUAUUUAUUUACGGUUGGAUUGCUCCGCCACCUUUUCUUAGCCAUACAUGUACUAUAACACGAAGCCAUGUAAAAAAAAUUGUGGAAGUUAUAUAUAGGUUUCCCGGCAGUAGUGGGCCUAGUGGCCCAUGAGAGACUGUCUUGGGCCGCUAGCGGCUCGGCCGCACGGCACGAGUUAGCCAUAGCUCUGUUCCACAUCUCCUUUUUCCUCUCAGCUGGAUCCUGUUCAUGCUGCUGAGCUUCCUCCUCCCCGGGACGUCCACACGGUUCCGGCAUCAGUGCUGGCAGACCGCCGCCGUGGCCUUCUUCUCGGCGGCCGUGAUCACGAGGCGGCAUCCGGUGGUCUGGUCCCCGGUGAUCCGCCGCUGGUCCGGCCAGCGGAACCAGAAGCCCAAGCCGCCGCGUCCCGUCGGCUAUUGAAGGUGAAGGCUGAAGGGGCGACGACUGACAAUGUUCGUGAAGGCGAUGGUGCUUGUCUGUUUGAUGAUGAGUUGACGAUCAAGUUCGUGAAGUAGUGAUGCUAUUUGUGAAAGUUGUUUUCCUGGAUGCUAACUAUUGGAUGAUUCGGUGAUCCGUGUAAUUGUUUCGUUUAAAGACAUCAGUACCACUUGUUGAUCACCAUGCUGUUGGAGUUCUUGGAGCUGUCCCCUGACUGCUCUGUUUCAGUGUUCCUUUGUGCAAAAUACGCAGGCCUGUUUGGGGCAACAAGUGACUUUCUUCCGUUCUCGAAGAUACGCAGGCCUGUUUGGGGCUACAAGACUUUUUUCCGUUCUCCAAGAUACGCAGGCCUGUUUGGGGCAUCUUUUCAAUAUGAUGCAACAGAUUUUAGUGAAACAAUAAUCUGAGCAAGCUAAUUGAACAUAACUUACUACGUUCCGACAACUCGCUUAGUAUUUGCUUGCUCUUAUUGUCGCCAAAGAUUCUUGCCAUGCCAAAAUCUGAUAUCUUUGGGUUCAUCGCUGCACCCAACAAAAUGUUGCUCGCCUGUGGAUGAUUGUCAGUCUUCUUAAUGGAGGCAAAGAAGACCUCGAGCAACCCCUUUGAUUAUCUUCAAACUCGUGGCCAAUCCAGGCAUCCAACGCUGAUUUUCUUGCACUAACUGCAAAAGAGCAACAUUUUCAUGAGCAAGAUGAACUGUUUUUCAGUGCUAAUUCAGCAGUUGUGUGAAGCUACUAGAACAUACUGAAAAGAGUAGCAUAUGCAAAUCUAAGCUAUGACUUACUUUGUAAACGUUGCUUAAACCUCCUUCCCCAAUCGUUGAUGCUUCAGAGACGUUAUCGGUUGCGACGAGUAUCUCAUUAUAUUUAACACAUGGGAGCGGAUGCAAUAUAUCAGGUGACCGUCUUCAGUUUUCUCAGUGGAUGCUUCUUAUUAUCGAAAAGUGUUCGAAAGAUCUGCCGCGAUACGUCAGGGGUGGGCACCAAAUGAUUUCCGUAUGAUACUUGGAGCUGUCCCGUCUCAGUUAUCGAUCAUUACCCAGCACACUUGGCUCCUGACGCGCGCAGUAGAGGCGAUGAGCAUCACCAGUUCACCAUCAUGCAUGGGUACGUUGCCCAGCUUGGCAAGACAGUGCAACUGCCACCGCCUGAGAAUGGCGUAAGGCCGGCGAAACGCGCCGGCUGGGAGAGCCUUCACCGGCCGCCGACGGUGUAUGGGGCGCCGCCGUAUGCCACGGUGGGUGGUAUGAUCGACGUUCCAUUUCGUUGUGCAGCUGUGCCAACACCUGGGAUCAACGCAACAGCGCACUAGUAGUGUAGUGACCGGGAAGAAAAUUCUAUGCGGUGGUGUCGCACCACGAUCCACCGGCGGUCACCGUCUACAAUGGCGCUGGCGCCCGACACCGUGCGUGGUUGCUACUCUCCGGCAGUCCGGCGCGCAUCGAUCGCCGGCCUUGUGCCGUUCUUGCAGACGGCCGCCACCGCCUUGCCUUGCCAAGCCUGCGAGACGUCCACCUACUACGUCCCUCCGCGACGAGCCGACGAGCCAGCCCAUCAUUUGCGGCAGCGCGCCUCCAGGACAGGUGCAUGCAUUUUAGUUGGAUCGAUCAGCCUCGUGCAAAAUUUUCAACAAAUUCCAACGACACGUCCAGCGCAAGAGGCUGUUCACUUGCACCAAAAGAAAGAGAGGGAAACAAAGAGGCUGUUCACUUGCUCUGCGAAAACAAUUGGGAGCUGUUCCUUACAUGAAUCCACCGCAUAACCGUCUCUGUCCAUCUCAGUAUCUUACUGAGAUGAUGGCAUAAAUUUAGCAAGUGUCGCGCCGCAGUAGACUAGAUACGUCAUCGAUUCAUCAUAAUAUGAGUAGCCUUGGAGUGGCAUAGAUAAGAACGACCAGAACUAGAACUGUCAGUCUCCCUUCUUAACGGUUCCUGUCAUGGUUCCGGCCGGUGCAAACCAAAUUCAAGUACGGUGUUUUUUUUUUAAAUGAACCAAGCUAAGUACGGUGUCUUGAACUUAUAGUUUACUUCCUAUGCCAAUUGAACUUUUGGACGUUACCUAGCCAACAGUGCAAUUGCAUCGACCUAAUCAUUUUUCUCGUGAGAAUACAUGCAGCAGGUUGUUGAUCCUCAGCAGUCCUUGUCAUAGUUUGGGUUCGUUUGGCAGGACUGUGGCUGAACGACUCUGGCUAUAGUUUCUUUGGUGGAGUAGCUUUUUUUCUCCGACUUAUCUGGUUGGAAAAACGUUUGGCAAAACGACUUCUCCUGGUAGUUUAAAAUUUCUUUUAUUCUCAUCUUAUCCAUUCAUCUCUGCCGGCCGGCCAUCCAUCUCUAUCUUUUAUACUCCCGCUGACCGUCUGUCCUCCUGCUGGCUGCCUCACCCCUGCUGCCAUCAAGCUCUCCCCCACCCGCGGCUCGUUCGCGCCGCGGUUGAGCUUCGCCCGCGACUCGUCCACGCCGCCGUCGAGUUCCCCACCCCGAUGCGCCUACGCGCGCCGGCCUCCUCCAUGCACCCACCAGCCAACUCGCCCCUGCCUCCAUGGUCAAACUAGGGAGUUUAACCCCGGGAGCAAGAUGGAGCCGUGGGGAGCCUAUUUUUUGGGCUCCGUCUCCAUCAAUCUGCUCCCAUCACCGUAUUUUGCGGAGCUGAUGGUGGAGCUAUUUCUUCCCCCACCCCUUGGCAAGGCUCGAAAAAAACCGGUGGUGAAGCUGGUUCGGAAGUUCUGCCAAAGGGGCCUUUAUUAGAUCUCCAGUUCUCCACCUCCACUCCAACGUGAAACCAGCACUACCACUUGAGCCUUUGAGAACGGAGAGAGAUCACAAAAAUGCUAAGCUGGCUGCCCACCUUGAUGGAUCGGCCGGCCUCAUCCUACGUCGCCGCCGUCCUCCUCUUCUUGCUUUUGCGGCCAUUAUUGUGUGCGUCCGACGACCGGCUUGUCCUCGGCAAGGCGCUCUCGCCUGGCACACCACUCGUCUCCGAUGGCGGCGCCUUCGCGUUGGGCUUCUUCUCCCCGCCCAACUCCGACUCAUCGUCACUGUACCUUGGCAUCUGGUACAACAACAUCCCAAAGCUCACCGUGGUGUGGGUGGCCGACCAGGCCGCCCCCAUCACCGGCGACCAUCUUUCAUCCACCCCACCGGGCACGCUCGCCCUGACCAAUGCCAGCAACCUGGUCUUGUCCGACGCCACCGGCCGAGUGCUCUGGACGACGAACGUCACCGCCGACGACGCGGUGGCCUCGCCGUCGUCGAGCUCGAGCCCUAUGGCCGUGCUUCAGAACACCGGCAACCUCGUCGUACGGUCCCCGAACGGCACCGCCUUGUGGCAGAGCUUCGAGCACCCCGGCGACGCCUACCUGCCCAACAUGAAGAUCGGGAUCGUCUACCGGACGCACUACGGCGUGCGCCUCGUCUCGUGGAAGGGCCCCGCGGACCCGUCGCCGGGGAGCUUCACCUUCGGCGCGGACCCGGACAGGCCCCUCGAGCUGGUCAUCUGGAACGGGACGCGCGUUCACUGGCGCAACUCGCCGUGGGAGGGCUACAUGGUGGACAGCAACUACCAGAAGGGCGGCGGCAGGUCCGCCAUCUACAGGGCGGUCUACAACAGCGACGAGGAGAUAUACGCCGCCUACACCCUCUCCGACGGCGCGCCGCCCAUGCAGUACCGGCUGAGCUACUCCGGCGACCUGGAGCUGCAGAGCUGGAGCAACGACUCGUCAGCGUGGGUCACGAUCAUUAGGUACCCUACCCGCGCCUGCAGCGCCUUCGGCUACUGCGGCGCUUUCGGCUACUGCGACAACAGCACGGACGCCGCCGUGCCGGCGUGCCGCUGCGUCGAAGGGUUCGAGCCGGCGAGCGGUGCCGGCUGGAGCCGCAGUGACUUCUCGCGCGGGUGCCGCCGGAAGGAGCCCGUGCGAUGCGCCGACGGCUUCGCGGCGGUGCCGAACAUGAAGCUGCCGUAUGGGUACACGCUGGUGGCGAACCGGAGCUUGGAGGAGUGCGCGGCGGGGUGCAGCCGCGACUGCUCCUGCGUCGCGUACGCGUAUGCGAACUUGAGCACCAGCGCCACCAAGAGGGACCCCACCAGGUGCCUGGUGUGGACCGGCGAGCUGAUCGACAUGGAGAAAGUCGUCGGGACCUGGGGUGACUUCGGUGAGACGCUCUACCUCCGGCUUGCCGGCGUCGGCGCAGGUACUGAGUAUUAUCGUUCAACUAAUCCACUCCCAUGUUUUCGUGUGGUGGCGUCAGCCUCAUAAAUAGAUUUCAUCAGACGUUUAAUUUGAUGGCUAAUGCAGAAAAGGAAAUGAGCAUUGCCUUUUUUUUUCAGGCAGGGGGGCAAGGAAAAAUGUAGUGAAAUUUGCAGUUCCGGUGCUUUUGGCAAGUGUUCUUAUACCCAUGUGCAUCUUCAUAUGUUUUCCCAAGUUCAAAGGUAAACUAUAUAUUUCUUUAUAUCUACCAGUUCCAUUACAAUAUGCGCAACAAUUAACACUUGUGCGUUCCUCAUGAGAGAAGAAAUGCUGAAGAAAAUCAACGGGGAAAAUAGCAAGAGGCGAGCAAUGCGAGUUUUGAGUAUUUCUGAUGAACUAGGGCAUGAAAUCCCUGCCCAAGAUCUUGAGUUCCCAUUCAUGAGAUAUAAUGAUAUACUAAUUGCAACGGAUAACUUCUCUGAAGCGUCAAUGAUUGGGAAAGGAGGUUUCGGCAAAGUUUACAAAGUAGGUCACCUAGUGGUAGUUUUUUGUUGUUCACAUUCACAGGUUGCUGAAAAAAAAUUUGCAUCUUGAAUUGUUUUUUGUUCCUCUAAGACUAAUAACAUACGAAGAACCUCUUUACAAUUCUGAAGGGAGUGUUAGGUUGUCGGGAAGUUGCUGUCAAAAGGCUUAGUAUUGGUUCCAAGCAGGGAUUAGUGGAGUUCAGAAAUGAGGUACUAUUGAUUGCCAAGCUACAGCACAGAAAUCUUGUUCGACUUAUCGGCUGUUGCAUGGAAGGCGAUGAAAAACUGUUGGUCUAUGAGUAUUUGCCCAACAAGAGCUUGGAUGCUACUCUAUUCAGUAUGUUCUAGUAUCUCUCCACAAGCUGCCCAGAUAGUGCUGAAACACCAGUUCAUCUUGCUCAUGAAAUGUGGCUCAUGUGCAGGCAGUACAAGAAAAUUAGUGCUGGAUUGGUCCAUGCGAUUCAAGAUAAUCAAAGGAGUUGCUCGAGGACUUCUUUACCUCCAUCAAGAUUCAAGACUGACAAUCAUCCACAGAGAUCUUAAGUCGAGCAACAUUUUGCUGGAUGCAACCAUGAACCCAAAGAUAUCAGACUUCGGCAUGGCAAGAAUCUUUGGUGACAAUCAAGAACAAGCAAACACUAAGCGGGUCGUCGGAACAUAGUAAGUUCCAUUCAAUUAUUUUGAUCAAAUUAACGUUUCAUUGAACCUGUUGCAAUGACUUAAUGUUUUCAACCCAUACUGGUCAAUUUAGUGGCUACAUGGCUCCUGAAUAUGCUAUGGAGGGCAUCUUUUCUGUGAAGUCUGAUGUCUAUAGCUUCGGCGUAUUGCUCUUGGAGAUCGUAAGUGGUGUUAGGAUAAGUUCCACUGAUUACAUUGAAGACUUCCCAAAUCUUAUAGUCUAUGUAAGUAUUAUUAUACUUUAUGAAUUCUACACAAGAUUUGAAAAUCUCAAAGUUGAUAUUCUAGGGAGGAGUAUGAAUGGAAACACCAAUCUCAAAGUUAAGGGGCUCAAAUGAAUCUGCAUGAUGUUUGUUACAGGCAUGGAACCUAUGGCAUGAUGGUAAGGCAGAGACUAUGAUAGAUUCAUGUGUUGUGUCAGGUUGCAUUGUGGAUGAAGCUAUGCUUUGUAUCCAUGUAGCACUACUGUGUGUUCAGGAAAACCUGAAUGAUCGGCCAACCAUGUCGUCUGUUGUGCGUAUCUUGGAUAAUGGAAGCAAGUCACUUCAGGCGCCAAAUAGGCCUGCAUAUUUUGCAGAAAGGAAUAAUGAAGCAGAGCAGACAGGAGACAGCGCCAAGAACUCUAACAACACUGUGACUCUUACAGUUCUGGAGGGACGAUAGAGCAAUCUUGGUGUGAGUCAGAUAUGAUGGCGGUGCCGGGCGAGAGCCUCUCGCCUGGGGCAAGCUUGUCAUCGGAAGUGCACAAGGCCGGCAAGAGGAGGAAGGCUGCGAUGCAGAUAGAAACGGAAUUCAUGGUGGCAGACUCGCUUUGGUGCUACGUUGUGAACGAGAAAUCUUCCUGAGAGUUGUAGUGGAGAUGCAAGUGAGCAGCUGACUACUUGGAACUUGGAAGUCUUUGGUUCGUGCGCAAUGAUGCAACACUUUUAACAUUUUCUCGUAGAUCAUAUGUAAUGGAGUUGAAUAACCUAGUACAUUAGCAGUUCAGUUGUACACAUCGAAGCAGUUGUUACUUUGCCUCUUUUUAGAGUUGUUAAUGUAGCAUUCGCUUCGCUGCCUAUUGUGUGGAUCGCCUGCCAUUUUGAAGUGUUGCUUAUGUACUCUGUGACUAAGGGUGCGUUUGGUUCUAAGAACAAAGUGGGACGGGAUGGGACGGGAUGAUCCCACUUCAUCCCACGUUUGGUUGGAAGAUAUAUGGGACGGGAACAUUCCUAUGAGGGAAUAUACCCUCCAGAUCCGGGAUGACCCCGUCCCAUCAAAACGAGCGAACGGGGGCAUCCCACUUCGCUCCCGAGGGGAGGGCGGAGGCGGCGCGGCGUGGCGAGCCUGCCAGCAAGGCUGCCGCCGGAGCCGAGGGAAGGGCGGGGAGGGGAGGGGAGGUUGGGGGCGGCCGUCGGAGCCCGAGGGUCUUGUUGCGGGGGCGACGCUGUGCGGCCCGAGGGCAGGGCGGCGGCAGCGUGGAGCAGUGUGACAUCCUGGCCCAAGGCUUAAUAGAAUUGAUAGAAUACUCAUACCAACAAGUUGCAACUUCUUUUCCGGAAACUCAUCCUCAAAGAACUCCGGGGUUAAGCGUGCUUGGCCCGGAGCAAUUUCAGGAUGGGUGACCGACCGGGUGCGCACGAGUGAGGACAAAGUGCACAGAAAAGACUUGUGUUGGUCUGUGAGGGAAUUCUUGAUAUCCUAGAGAGCUGCCAGGUGUAACUAAAAAGGAAAAAUAAAAUAAAAUAAAUGUAUAGAGAAUGACAUGUGGGGUCAAAAAUACUGUAGCUAACGGUGUCAAAAAUUUUAUCCAUAUCAUCCACCUCAACCUCUCCAACCAAACACAAGACAGGACCGUCCCAUCCUAUUUCAACCAAACACUAAACGGGACCAUUCCAUCCCACAAAACUGGAACGGCACCAUCCCAUCCUAUAUUGUCUCCCAUCCAAACACAUACUAAGUAUAUGUUGUCAGCUAUGGGUCGCUGUUGGAUCGGACUUACAGCCGCCCCCCAAGUGUGGGAUCUGAUCAUUUAAAAUGACCGCCGUCUGAUGGUAAUUGGUUUGGGUCAUCUCUGAUUAGGUUGCAGUACGAACAAAGCUUUCUGAUAAAUAGACGUGACUCCUAUAUGCUUUCAAGUGGGGAUGUAGUCGCAGUCGAUGUUAACACUACUGUAUUGGAUACAAACCUUAUCGGACCAAGACGAAAGACCUGAUAUGACCGACUAUCGGUGAUAAUUAUAAUAAUAAAUUUCAGUGAUUCAAAUUUGAAAAGAGGAGGAUAUCUCUACAGCUAAAAAAGCAAAACCGAGUAAAAACUUUUUUGGUCCGCCAUCCAUCCCUUCGCCUGUUCGUUACCUCUGUUCGCGUUCGUGCUGAUCACCUAUGCCGUCGAUCCGAUCGAGCCCUUCCGCGACGUCCCUCACCUUCCCACCACGAUCGUGCCUUCAACGGUGGCCCUCCGAUCCAACCCUAUGCGCCCUCCCUCAUUGCCUCACGCAGCCAUCGCCACCGCCUUGCCUCCGCCAUCGACCACGCCAUCGCCUCGACCACACGCCGCCAUCACCUCCACCUCGCGCCGCCAUCUCCUCCAACAUGUGCUGCCGUCUCAUCCAACCAGGGGCUAAGGUCUCCUCCGACCCGGUGCCAUCGUUUCCUUCAGCUCGGCAUUGAGGUCUCCUCCAAUCCGACGCCACCCUCUCCCCAACCCUGCCGGCGCCGCCGUCGCCUCCCGGAUCAUUUAUACACGUCCACCCUUGCGACCGUCCGCCGCGGCGCCGCCCGGCCGCUGCCACCACAGGUUCGGUGGCCCCUAGAUGCCGACGAAGUGGGCACUCGCCCUACAUCCCAUCCCAGCGCGGGAGCAGCCGUCGGAGAGGGAGGUCGGUUCCCUGCGUAGCUGCCACUCAACCUCAAUUGACCGAUAAGAGUAAAGCUUUUUCCUCAAUCAUCCUCCAGUUGUGAUUAUACAUGGCUACUACAGCUCAUCCUCAAUUAGUCUCCAUAUUCAUGAAUCAGAAAGCGCAAAGCGCAUAUUUGUUGGUUACUUGAUUAAAGCAUUCCUCAUUGUAGGGAAAAUGUUAAUCUAUAACCGAAGGACUGCAUUGCUCUUGAUGUGAACCUGCAUACAUUUCCGUAACUGAAGGAUUAGCUGCAGAAAAGGAUUCUCAGGUUUCUCCAUUGUAUAAAACCAGUCGCGCAGAGUAUUGCUCUUGGUGUUUGGAAAUAGAUAUAUGGAGGCCAUUCUUUUUUCUCACUAUUCUACAGAGGUUUAGAAAACCUAUUGUUGUGAACAUAAGUAGAUUUCUGCUACUGUUUAAAGUAAAUGUGCUAUUCAGAACAGUCAUGAGUGUUAGAUUGUAAUUAUCUGUGUGUACACUAGUGGGCCCACGGGCCCUGUUAUGUGUAUGGGCUGGCUGGCAGCCCGCCCGUGGGCGCCGCCAGCCCUGACACCUAACCCUAGCCGCCCCCCUGCGCUUGGUCUCCCAGGCCUAUAUAUGGUUGUAGCCUGUGCUCCUGUAUAAUCUAAUCUAAUCUUUCCUCGCCUCAAUAUCUCUUUCAAUGAGGUUUAGAAAAUCUACAUGUUUGGGACUUCCUUGAAUGCAAAAGGAAUCAUUCAAUCUAGCAUUUUCUAACAUACAAUCCCUUCGUUCUCACCAGGAAAAAUACCGUGCUGUCCGGUUCAACCCAAACUUGUGGUAAUCGGGUCAAAAGGUUUGCAAAUGGGAGACUGAACAUCACUUUCCCUCUACUUCUUAAAUUUGAUUUGUGAUCAAACUGGCCUGAAAACACAAAAAUGUCUCAAAUAAACAGAUGACUAAUGAGGUCGGAAGGUCAUUGUUUGCUAAGGCUGGAGAACUGGGAGUGCCAGUUGGAAUAAUGGUGAUGAAGGUAAAAAACGCAUUCCUCUGUUAGAUGUAUGUGCAGUUACUAUUGGACUUUGGGAUUCCAACAGCAAGAAUAAUGUAGCAAUAUGUUCACAUGGUAAAGAGGAGAAGAAGGGCUCAUAUUCGAACAAAGAUUCACAUAUUAUAUUUUUUCAGGUUGUGCCAUUCUAAAGCCAGAAGAACCGAGGAAACUAAUAGUUCAGACAAAUGCGAAUUUUUAACCCUGUUAGUUACACAAGUUACAUGAGCUUCAUGAAAAUCCUGUUUGCAUCUUUUUUGCAAAAUAAAAUUGUAUGAAUAGGCUCCUUGAAUAUAAAGCAACAGGGACUUAAUUAUGCUCUUUGUUACAAAGUCAGAAUUAUAUAAUUAUUCUUUGUUGUUCUUGUGUAUGCAGGGAAUUGUUCUAUAUAUUCAGGAAAUAGAUGUUGUGGACAACUUCUUUGGCAAGAAGUUCCACUGCAGGAACAAGGGCCCACCUCCUCCAGGAGAUGCUAGUUAGUUUAGAUUCAGAUUAGAGAUAGAAUUGGAAUUAGUUGGGAUUUUGUAAGCCGGCUCAUUAUAUAAGAGUCCUGGCGCUUUAGAUUAGGUUUAAGCAGAAGAUAAACCUCAGAGCUCAGAGCCUCCUAGGGAGGGCGAGCAGGUUGUUUAUCAAUCUGCUCAUCAUGUUCUUAGUCAAUCAACUAGCCAUAUCAAUAGAGGAGCUAUGUAGGGAUUAUCCUGAAACUACUGUUAUUCUUGAUCAUAUGGCUUUCUGCAAGGCACCAACGUAAACUUGUGUUUUUGCUUGUUCAUAGUCUGUGUGAAUGUAGUCAUAUGAAGCUAUAGCCUGUAGUAGCUUAUAUUGCAUUACAAUACAAGGACAACUAAGAAGAGAGGGCAUUCUCAUCAUUUCUAAACUUAUCCUGAUUCCCACAGGUAAUCUCCAAAACCUCUUUAUUUUGUCCAUUGGCAGAUCAAUGUGGUCAUGAAAAAAAGUUUUUAUUGUGCAAAUGAGCCUUUUUCAGUACCAGCUGACAUUAGCACCCUCAGAUUUUGUUGUCAGAGAUCCAGGGGCAGUAACACUAUUUCGUGAGGGGCAAUACCUAACCUGAUUUAUUGUCAAGUAAUGGCAUCAUGAAUAAAGUGCCAGAUUGUAGAAGUUGUGCAGUUAAUUCCAUUCCUUCUGCUUCUGUAACAUUAUACUUGCUCUAAUGCCAUGAUCCGUUACUUCAAAAGUUUAUGUCAAAUAUAGUGCUCUUUUCCGCAUCUCAAGUGAAGCAUAUCCAUACGAAGAUACUGCUCAGCUUCUUUCCUGUGUGAUAUCUAACUAUGGAGCCAAUCGAAUAAUGUGGGGACGGUGAAUUCACAUACCCACCGAUAGUUUCAAUUGGUCAUAGACUCCAACAGUGCUUAUGAGAAACCACUCUCAGUUAACUGAUAGCAUGCUCUGAAGUGUCGGAUCAGCAAAUUUGUCCAGUUUGCUUAAAAAAAAGAUGGUGUAGUGGAGUGGAGUGUAGUGUUGCUGGUAGGAUAAUAUAUUCCGGAGGAGCUAAAUCAAGAUUUUGUAAACAAGUAUUAGUUCCUGCAAUGAUCUGUGCCAUCACACCAACUUGCUCGAUAUGUGUUUAUUGUAAUGUUUUAGAAUAAAUAUAUUCUGCAUUAUGUUUAACUCUAACAGGCUUCUACUCUGUAGCUGUUUUGCAGAUUGCAGCAAGACUAAUUUCCAGUGUGUGGACAUACAGUCCAACUUUGCAAGGGAAAGUAUACUGUAUUAAGCAUCCUAUCAUUGCAAUUAUUCUAAUUUAGUUUUGCUGUGCACUAGAUUUACUUAAUCAAAACCUUAUUUUCUUUUACUACUGAGAUAUGUAACCAAAUCAUGAAGAUGUGAUACCAGAUGUACACUGACAUUGCUUUCAGCCAAGUGUUUAGUACAGGAAAUUUCCCAUGAUGAUACCCUAGCCAUUUGUGCACUGGCAAUGAUCCCUCGAUACCUUAAAGGUACUGAAAUUUCAUUUCCAAUAAUUUUUGAGUAAUGUUUGUCAUAGGGGUUCUUUUUUAAUUGAUAAUGGAGAAAUUCAAAUGAAUUAGCUUCCUGAACUACUAGAACCAUAUUUACACCCAGUCCCAACAAUUUCUUUAAUAUUGAUAUAUCUUCAGUAGGCAUGUGAGUGUGCAAAAUCAUUUCAAUUCUAUUAGCAGCGCAUUGACUCAGAGCUAGGAGUGGAAUAUUUUGUCUGCGGAAGAUGCUUCCUCUAAGCCAUAGGGAAGUAUUCAGGUGCAUCCCCUGCUCCGAUUACCCUUUCAUAAUGAACAUAUAUACAUAUGACACUUGCAGCUGUUGGAGAUCAAGUCAUCAGCUACUGAGGAUAGACGAAGAUUAAGCAAUUAAAGAAGCAAGAAGAUUUUGCUAAUCACCUUCUGUUGCCUGGUUUGGUAUCUCAAUGGAACAAGCGGGUCUUCAUUUUUCUGAUUGAUGAAACUGAAGAUGCAAUCAAAUAGAGGAACAUCACACUGGAUCAUGCUGUAUGUUGUACAGUAGUCAGUAGAAUAUACGGUUCCUAUUUAGUUGAUUGUAGUGACAAAAUAUGUAUAUGCAAGGUGUAUCGUAGUCCAUAUAUGCAUCUAAAGUAAAUAAUGAUCUGACUAAAGUAAUGUAAUAUUUGUUCUUAUUUUCACACUAAUAUUAUCCUGUUAGAUGCUCCCACAUAUCGCAACAUUAAUAUUUUGUAGCCCGUAGCAAUGCACAGGCACGAUCCUAAUAUAAAAAAAUGAUUGGUAUUCAACUAAAAAAUAUCGAUAGGUUUUACCAUACAUUUCAAAUGAUGGUCCCACAUGGCUUUUCUUUGUUUACAAAUUUAAAUGGUACUGAAUUUUUGAACGGUUCACCAGUUUAUUGGCCCUGCCCCAGCCAAUAUUGCUGAUAACUUAUAAUGUCGAAGAUAUAUCGUUGAUUCCUAGCAUUGGCGCAUGUUUUUUCCCAAAUUUCAUACCACUGAUGAAAAUGGGGACCAACCAAUUCACAGGAAUUGAAAAAAAAUAAAAACAAAAUUUGGUAUUUUCAGCCUUCGAAUUGGGAAAUUUCCCUUGCCAGGCAACGAGAAAACCAUUGAGCUGUAGCCUAACUUAUGAAAACCAAUUCUAUAGAACCUUUAAUAAGCAUUCUAAAUACUUUAAAUAUUCAAUUUGAGGAAAAAUGACCGAAAAAUCUCCAAAUUUAGAGAUUUUUUUGUGAAGUUUGCUUUUCGAUGGAGACAAAAGAAAAAUCAUAAAUCGAAAUUGGAACCCAUGGUUCUAACGGUACGUAAGGUCAGAGUCUCUUCCUUCAUGGGAAAGAUUUUCUAGGUAUUGAGGGGACAAAUAAAAUUGUCAAAAUCCAUCUUUAUUUUAAAUUAACUAUAAGUGCUAUCUAUACUAUGAGGUAUUUUUAGGACAUGAUGCGUUGGAAAAUGAGUGUAACCGUAGUUUAAGGCUGUUUAAUCAGCUGGGCACAACUUCUGAAAAACCUUGAAGUUCUCACGUUGAAAGCAUAUAGGACUGGAGCCACACCUAGCUUCUUCUUCUGUUUUCUACUGUAAAAUAAAAUGCCCGUGCUGUGAAUUUAUCCGCGAUGACCCACUUCAAAACCAAUUACGAUCAGACGGCGAUUCUUUUUAGAUGAUGAGAUCACAGCCCCCUCUGGAAGUGUAAGCUGAUGCCUGACGCUGACGGCAAUGACUGCAUUACCGGCCAUAGACAGCUCAAAUGUCACCACCAACGUUUUAUUUGUGCUGUCUAGGAAACAAUAACCAGCUUACUGUAGAUACUAGACUUCUGCAUUAUUGCCUGCAGACCAAGUCCUAGUAUAUCCUUGGGUUGUGAGGCUUGCCAUGAGCUGGAAAUUUGUCUGAUGCUCCCACAUUUUAGAGUUUGGCCGCGCAGAUGCCACAGCGACCUGUAAUUGACAACAUAUGCUCAGUGUCAGAGAGUACGUUAACAACACUUGAAAAUGGCAAUUUGGGUAUCCACAGUAAGCAACGAUGGAAGUACAGAUUUAACAAUCUGAAGGUGGCAAAGGAACAAGUGCUACGAUGUGUACAGCUCAACUGCAAUUGUAUUAUGUCAUAGUCUAUAUAUGGUUUAGUACAGCUCAAGUGCUGCAUAUUAUUAUUCGAACCAAGGCUGCAGGAGUUUAUGUUAGUCUAGUACCCAGUAGCUAGUUGCACACUCCCCUACAUCUCGACGGCCAUUUUGAGUUAGAGCUCCACUAGUUAACACUGCAGAAAGUUUUUGCAUCCAUGAGUUCCAUUUCCAUCUGGAUCGCAGCUAUCCUCCUCUUGCCAACCUUGUGCGCUUCCGAUGACCGGCUUGUCCCAGGCAAGCCGCUCUUACUUGGCUCCACCAUCACCUCUGAUGGUGGCGACUUCGCCCUGGGCUUCUUCUCCCCAUCCAAUUCCACUCCGGAGAAGGUCUACCUCGGCAUAUGGUACAACAACAUCCCUCGGCUUACCAUGGUGUGGGUUGCUAACCGGGAAGCACCGGCCAUCUCCUCCUCAGCUCCUUCGCUUGUUCUGACCAACACCUCAAAUCUUGUCUUGUCCGAUGUGAAUGGCCGUGUCCUCUGGACAACCAACACCACCACUGCUGCUGCAAGCUCCUCGCCAUCGCCAAGGUCGAAUGCUACUGGGUCGGUAGCAGUGCUUCUGAACACAGGCAACCUCAUUCUUCGGUCGCCAAACGGCACGACGCUGUGGCGGAGCUUCGACCACCCGGCAGACACUCUCCUCCCAGGCAUGAAGAUACGGAGGAGCUACAAGACACAUGAUGGCAACCGCCUUGUUUCUUGGACUGGACCGGAGGAUCCCUCGGCGGGCACCUUCUCCUUCAGUGGAGAGGCAGACCCGUUUGCGCAGGGCUUCAUCCGGAAUGGUUCACAACCAGUGUGGCGCAGUCCUGUAUGGACAGGCUACAUGGUCUCCAGCCAGUACUUUCAGGCGAACACCAGAAUUGGUAUCUACAUAGCAUAUGUGGACACCGUCGACGAGGUGUCCAUGGUCUUCACCGUCUCCGAUGGUGCUCCACAUGUGCGGUAUGUGAUGAGCUACUCUGGCAGGCUAGAAAUAUUCAGUUGGAACAGGGAUUCAUCAAAUUGGACCAUGCUUACGGCAUGGCCGAGCCACGAGUGUAGCAGGUACGGCUACUGUGGGUUCUCUGGCUACUGUGACUACACGGAGGCUACCCCGACUUGCCAGUGCCUUGAAGGGUUCGAGCCCGUGGAUGCGGGAGAAUGGAGCACCGGCAGGUUCGAGCAGGGCUGCCGGCGAAAGAAGCCACUGCGAUGUGGGGACAGUUUCUUGGCAUUGCCGGGUAUGCAGGUGCCUGACAAGUUUGUACGCAUCAGGAAGAAAGUCCUCAGUGAGUGUGAAGCGGAAUGCAGAAAUAAUUGUUCUUGUGUGGCCUACGCAUAUGCAAAUUUGAACAGCAGCAUAAUGAAGGAUGACCCGACAAGGUGCCUUGUGUGGAUUGGUGACCAGCAGCUAAUUGACACACAGAAGAUAGGUGUGACUCCCUAUAGUACUGCUGGUGCUGACAGUCAAGAGACGCUAUAUCUCCGAGUUUCAGGCAUGCCAGGUACCAUUUCAUAUCAGAAGAACUUCUAUCAGAGGCAUAAACCAAGCAGACGUGCCCAUAUAUAUCAGGGGCAUUCCCACUUGUGGCAUGGUGUCUUAUCAUGUUAUCCUAACGGCCUUACCACACUAUCAUCUUAGUACCUAGGUCUCUUUCCUAAAUAUGCAGGUACAUGACACUAGUUUUCCAUGAAAAUCAAGGAGCUAUCUAUUGACCACUGGAACUAGUUCAGAGGUUUCUGUUCAUGGAAAGUUGGAAAGUUGGCAGCUGGUUUCUGUUCAUGGAAAGUUGAAAACUAGUGUCAUGGAAAGUUGGCAGCUGGUUUCUGUUCAUUUUAUCUGGCUUGUGAAGUUGGCACCAAGAUCAUGGAAAUUUUGGUUAAAACAUAGAUACUGGAAAUCAUGCACAGUAGGGCAGUGGUAACUAGCUAGCUUUAGAAUCUGCUCACACCCUAGAACCAUAUGCUGAUCAUUAUAUGACUACAUGCAUAUUGCGGUCAAUCUACUGAACCGAGAUAUGAAGCUUUCUUUUCUUUCUCAGUGAUCUUAAUUUCUCGUGCAACAUCUAGUUAAGGUGUCAUGUUAAUUCUUACUGGUCAUUAUUUUAACAAAAAGGUACUACUGUGUAAUGUAAGAAUGUAGCACUAAGCGCUUGUUCGGUUGUUUGAAGACUGAAAUCUGUAGUUGCAUGAUAUUAACUUGGUGCUAUAUAAAUAUAUAUGAAUAAUUUUUGCAUUGUUUUGAAGGUGGAAGGACAAAAAAAAAUACAAAUGUAGUGAAAACUAUACUACCAAUUCUAGCGGGUGUUACUGUCCUCACUUCCAUUUUACUUAUAUGGGUCUGCAAGUUCAGAGGUUUGUUUUCCAUUCUAUAUACUGAUUGCAGUUACUUAAGAACAAAUACUCACCAACUUUUGGGAGCAGGAAGGAAAAGAAAUGUGGAAAUUCACAAUAAGGUAAUGCUUGGUGGUUCUUCAGAAGAACUUCGAGAAGAAAACGCUACCCAUGAUUUUGAACUUCCAUUCCUGAAAUUUCAAGAUAUCCUUGUUGCAACAAACAAUUUUUCCAACAUAUCUAUGAUUGGACAAGGAGGUUUCGGCAAAGUCUACAAGGUAAUUAUUUACGCUAGGACUUUCUCUGCUUUUCCUAGUUUAAUUCUUGAAUCAAGCAACUGCACUACAUACCACAAUCUUACCUUUCUUUGAUAAUUACAAAGGGGACACUUGAAGAUGGUCAAGAGGUUGCAAUCAAAAGACUUAGUAGGGACUCAGACCAAGGAAUACAGGAGUUCAGAAAUGAAGUUAUUCUAAUUGCCAAACUACAACACAGAAACUUGGUUCGACUUCUUGGUUGCUGUGUUGAGGGAGAUGAAAAGCUACUGAUUUAUGAGUAUUUGCCCAAUAAAAGCUUGGAUGCUGUAAUUUUCAGUAUGUUCAGUUCAUAUUCAUUUUUCACCAGAGUUUAUAUAGAUCUGAGCAGCUAUAAAUUAUCCUCUUCAUAAACAUGACAUAUUUAUUAUUUGUAGACUGUGAACAGAAUGCAGCACUUGAUUGGCCACUAAGGUUUACAAUAAUCAAAGGAAUUGCUAGGGGGCUUCUUUACCUCCAUCAUGAUUCAAGAUUAACAAUAGUUCAUAGGGAUCUCAAAGCUAGUAAUGUGUUGCUAGAUGCAGAGAUGAGACCCAAAAUAGCAGACUUUGGUAUGGCAAGAAUCUUUGGUGACAACCAGAAAAACGCAAAUACAACACGAGUUGUUGGGACAUAGUAAGCACUACUUAUUGCUCAAACUAACAUAUGAUUGAACCAAAUUCAUCUUUAUGACCUUUGCAAAUGAACCUCACCAGUGGUUAUAUGGCUCCUGAAUAUGCAAUGGAGGGUAUUUUCUCUGUGAAGUCUGAUGUCUAUAGCUUUGGCGUGUUACUUUUGGAAGUUGUAAGUGGUAUAAAGAUAAGCUCUGUUGAUCGCAUCAUGGGUUACCCAAACCUAAUUGUCUAUGUAAGCAAAUAUGAUUACCUUUUUUUAAUUGAGGUAAAGGAUUUUGAAACUUCCGGAGUUAUACAAUCUAAAUGACUGUGAUUGUUUCAGGCAUGGAACCUUUGGAAGGAAGGGAAGGCAAAGGAUUUGGUAGACAAGUGUAUUGUGGAGAACUGCUUACUAGAUGAAGCCUCACUUUGCAUCCACAUGGGGCUCUUGUGUGUUCAGGAAGAUCCUGAUGAUAGGCCAUUCAUGUCUAAAGUUGUGUUCAACUUGGAGAAUGGAUGCACAGCGCUACCAAAGCCAAAUCAUCCUGCAUAUUUCGCGCGGAGAAAUAGUGACAUGGAGCAAUUAAGUGAAGACAUCUUAAACUCUAAGAACACAGUGACUCUUACAGCCAUAGAUGGGCGAUAAAAUAUUUCUCAUGUUAGCUGUACACCUUUUGUCAAGCUUAAUGCUGCAAUGAGAUAACUGCAUUGCUAGUAAUCUCGAUGCUAGAUUAUGUGUGGGAAACCAAACCCAGUCUGGAGUGAAAUAUGAUAAAAAGCUAUAUGAGGCUCAAAGCAUGGCAGUGAUGCAACAGAAAGUCAGAAAACAUACAUAGCACUUGUAAAACGGCAUGGCAAUUGAAACUUUUGGACUUACUCAAAAUGCUUCAGGUUUCACAAGGGCAGCCAACGCAUGGGGUUCCUUACUUCCUUAGCAUGUAUCAGGACAUAAUCAAGCACCUUCCAGAACAACGCAUCCUUUUCCAGAGCAUAAUUAUUUACUGAAUGGGGAAAUAAUACAGCUGCAGCCUACAAAAUGAAGACAUGCCAAUAUGCCAUCAGUAUUUACAAGGCUACAAGCACCACCUUUCGUAGAGUAUUUACUUGUCAAAGUAAGAUGUGAAACCUCUUGCGAGUGUCAGGGGAUGCCAUGCCACCGUUGCUUGUCGCUCCCACUGACCGAGUAGGCUGUUUGACCACUUUGACGCGGCAUCGCCGAUGCCACAGAUACCAAGCACGCCACCUUCCGCACAUCAAUUGCGCCGCACCAACAGACGGUGUUCCCGCGGAUAGGGAUAGCUAGUUAGCUACCACAAACACGAUCCUGUCCACUAUACAUGGUGGAACGUGGUGCAGCCCGCCUAGUGACACAGACACACAGUGUACCAGCCGCUGGACGCCGUGCCGGGGGGGGGGGGGGGGGGGGGGGGGCGCGGUGAUUGGGACAGUUCAGGCAUUCUGUCGAACAGGUGGAAGGCGUUGCGCCUUGCCUGUUUGCUGGCUGAGGCUGACGCUUUUGGAUUGGACACGGCCAACAGAAGAGGCCGAAUGAGUCUGUGGAUGAGAACAUGAGGGCGGAGGGACACCCGGCGCCGUCGACGGAGAGAAUGUCGCGAGCGGCACAGCUUUGGCUGAGACUGUCUCGUGUUCUCCUCUGCCGUGUCGCCACAUUUUGACAAAAAAAAAAAAGCACUCUCAGCGCUAUGGCUCCGUUAAAAUGUUCGAUGCCUCCUUGAACCUUUGAUCAUCUCGAAAUUUUCGAUCGGUAUGGAAGCUAGGUUUGUUCGGAGGGUACAACAAGGACGUAUUCAACCAACGCACUCUACACUCACACUGCACGUCCAUACACACGUUUACGGAAAAGAUUGGGAGACCUAAACCUCCAAUGCACGGAAACGUGUAGUACCACUUACGCGCACGCGUGUGUACCUAGUGAACUCAGGAAUAAUCCUGAGCGAAACUGAGGAAAAACCCCAGUGAAGCACCUAGGUCCGAUCCCAGGGAUCGAACCCGGGCAGGCUGGGUGAACACCCUCGCCAGCAGCCACCCGAGCUAAGCUUGGUCUUCGGUAUGGAAGGUAGGUGUGAUCCACGACGUCAAACGCGCGGCGGUUUGUUUGCCUCAAUUACUCUAUCAGUUUUCUCUUGUUGCUUAUCUGCAAUGUGUGGCCUCACCCACGCGUUAGUGGCAGUUAAACAGCCCAGAAGCCCACUUGUCUAACCGAGCUCCAAUUCAUGCGGCAACACCCAGGUCAAAGGUUCAAAUCCGUGGUCAACUUGCAUUCGGAGUUAGAGUCUGUUUGGAGGACUUCGACUCCUGUAAAAAAAAUAGCUCCAGCUGUGACUCCUCAUGUCCGCUCGCUAGAAGGAGCCGCUGAAGGAGCCCUACCAGGCCUUUGUAUGGACUCAUGUCCGCUAGUCAACGAGGAUUUCCCCGUGUUCAAACGCUAGGUCACCGCAGUCUAAUCCGGAUAGAGGCGAGGCAUCAGCACCAACAAGGACUUCUGCCUGGGGCCCAUUUUCUUGUCAGCGUGUUCUAUGUAAAAAGCUCAAACUCACGUACUGAUGCUCCAGUCCAUCUAUGGAAUUCUAGCGCCGGUGGUUCACGACGCCUCGAGGGCUACUUUUUCUCAAGAAAGGAAACAACUUUUGGUCUCAACUAGUCUAAUAUAGUACAUAUAGUACACACAUCAAACACAUACACAAUAAUAUCGAUGAAGUCACUCCAAGGAGGUUUCCUCCGCAGUGUUUUGGUGACGUUGCGAUGACUGUCUGGCCGGUGAUCCUGCACAAAUGCAAGAAAUUGAUGUUAAAUGCUCGGGUAGAUUUUGGUUUUACCAGGCGAGGUAUCAUGCUACUGCACUAUUAGUUUGUAGGAAGCUGCAACGCAGUUUACUCGUUGCAAAGUUUGACCAAGUAGAUUCUACAGACGGCCGGCCUAAUUAAAUUCGUUGAUGGUGGGAAUGCAUUAGUAAAUUUUGAUUGAAGGUGGCAUUGUGGUUUCGGACGACGACCUCAUCUCCACACUUCUUCUGGAUGCAUGCACCCAUAAGGCCAGGUAAAACGACAACUUUCUCUAAGAAAAUAACACCACGUACGGUGGUAACAACCCAUUUCGAGGUGUACAUCUCAACUAUGACCAACAUAUUUUGACUAGAAUGUUUGAAUUCACUAUAGUCUACGAGAAACCUGGAAAUUUUGCAUUCUUUCGUGCACACCAAGCGCGCAGGAGCUUGCUAUAUAUACUAUAACAAGUAGUCGCUUGCGCUCCUACCAACUCUAGCGCUUUGAUGGAUAAGACUAGCAAACUCACUCAGAGAGCCAGAGACACCGCAGCAAGUCCAAUGGCAUUCGUGAGUUCCAUUUCGGUUUGCACCAUGGCUCUCCUCCUCUUGGCGGCCCUGUGUGCUAAUUCGGAUGACCGGCUUGUCCCAGGCAAGCCGCUCUUGCCCGGCACCACCAUCGUAUCUGAUGGCGGUGACUUCGCCUUUGGCUUCUUCUCCCCAUCCAAUUCCACUCCGGAGAAGCUAUACCUUGGCAUAUGGUACAACAAGAUCCCCCGGCUCACCGUGGUGUGGGUUGCUAAUCGGGCAACACCGGCCAUCUCCUCCUCAGCUCCUUCUCUUGUUCUGACCAACACCUCUCAUCUUGUCUUGUCCGAUGUCAAAGGCCGUGUUCUCUGGACAACCAAAGCCACCAAAGCUGCAAGCUCCUCAAAAUUGCUGAAACUGAGUACUACCGGAUCAGCGGCGGUGCUUAUGAAUACAGGCAAUCUCAUCCUCCGUUCACCGAACGGCACAAUGCUAUGGCAAAGCUUCGACCAUCCGACUGACACUCUCCUCCCGGGUAUGAAGAUAUGGAGGAGCUACAAGACUGAUGAUGGCAACCGCCUUGUUUCUUGGAAAAGCCUAGAGGACCCCUCGCCAGGCACCUUCUCCUACAGUGGAGAGACAAAAUUAUUUCCGCAGAGCUUCAUCUGGAACGGUUCGCACCCAGUAUGGCGUAGCCAAGUAUGGACAGGGUACACGAUCAGUACUAGUCAGUACUACCAGCUGAACACUAGCAUUGUGGUAUACCUAGCAUGUGUUGAUACUGUCGAUAAGAUAUCCAUGGUCUUCACCGUGUCUGAUGGUGCACUACCCAUGCGGAUUGUGAUGGGUUACUCUGGCAGGUUAGAACUACGAGUUUGGAAUAAUAGAGUUUCAUCGGAGUGGGCAAUGCUUGGAAUGUCGCGGCCGGACUAUGAUUGUAGCAGGUACGGCUACUGCGGGCUCUCCGGUUACUGCGACUAUACAGAUGCUACCCCAACUUGCAAGUGCCUUGAUGGGUUUCAGCCCGUGGACAAGGAAGAAUGGAGCAAUGCCAGAUUCUCGCAGGGAUGCCAGCGAAAGGAGCCCCUUCGAUGUAGUGAUGGUUUCUUGGCGCUGCCAGACAUGAAGGUGCCUGACAACUUUGUGCGCAUUGGGAGAAAGACCUUCAAGGAAUGCGCGGCUGAGUGCAGUGGCAAUUGCUCUUGUGUGGCGUACGCUUAUGCGAGUUUGAAUGGCAGCACAUCAAAUGGCGAUGCGACGAGGUGCCUUUUGUGGAUUGGUGAUCAUCAGCUUGUUGACACGCAGAAGAUGAUGGCAGUACAUCCCUAUAGCACUGCUGGUGCCGAGAGUCAAGAGACGCUGUAUCUCCGAGUUGCAGGCAUGUCAGGUACCAUUUCAUAUCCCAUCUUAGCACUGAGGUCUAUUGCCCAAACUAUACAAUAACAUAAUAACACCACUAGUUAGUUUUCCAUGAAAAUCAAGGAGAAAUAUAUCUGUAGUCCACCGGAACUUGACUGUUCCAUUUAUCUGGUAUGUAAAAUAAGACCUACGAUCAUGCAUGACAACACGUAAUAGGACAGUGUGGCAACUAAUUUGGAGUCUGCUCACAUCCUUGAACCGUAAGCUGAUCACAAGGUAUGGCUACAUGCAUAUUAUUGGAGUCAAAUAUAUAUUGAAUAUAUACUGAACUGAGAUUCAUAAUAGUUUCUCGUACAACAUUAAGUUUAUGGAGUGUUCUUAAUUCCUAGGCCGUUAUUUAAUGAAAAAGGUACUAUUGUGUGUAACGCAAGACCAUAGCACUUGUUCGCCUGUCUGAAGAUUGAACUCUGCAGUUUUAUGAUAUUUUUUUUUGAACGGAACGGCAAGAGAUUUGCUGUAAUUUUUAUUAGAAGAAGGGAAUAAAACACAAAGCCCAAAAAGCAAAAAGAAAAUACACGACUCGGCAUGCCCUCACCCGAGACGACUCAACAGCACUAGAGCCGGCACAAAAACUAAAAACUAUAUGAAAAAGCUUUUGCACUGAUUUGCAGGUAAAAGGACAAAAAGGAACACACUAAAAGUUGCGCUACAAAUUUUAGCAGGUGCCGUUGUUCUCACUUCCAUUUUACUUAUAUGGGUCUGCAAGUUCAGAGGUAUGUUUUCUUCCAUAUGCUAAUUACUAACCACAGUUACUCAGGAAUAAGCUCUUAACAACUUUUGGGAGCAGGAAGGAAAACAAAUACGGAAAAUCACAAGAAGCUAAUGCACGGAGGUUUUACUACUUCAGAUGAACUUGGAGAAGAAAAAACUACCAAUGAUUUUGAACUUCCAUUUCUGAAAUUCCAAGAUAUUCUUGUCACAACAAACAAUUUCUCCAGUACAUCUAUGAUUGGACAAGGAGGUUUCGGAAAAGUUUACAAGGUAAUUUACGAUCGAGGUUUCCUUUCUUUGCUUUUCCUAGACUCAUUAUCUAAUUAAAUAACCUGCAGAACAUAUCACAAUCUUACUUUUCUAUGUUAAUCACAAAGGGGGCAUUAGAAGGUGGUCAAGAGGUUGCUAUCAAAAGACUUAGUAGGGACUCUGAUCAAGGAAUUCAGGAGUUCAGAAAUGAAGUUGUUCUAAUUGCUAAGCUACAACACAGAAACUUGGUUCGACUUCUUGGUUGCUGCGUUGAGGGAGAUGAAAAGCUGUUGAUUUAUGAGUACCUACCUAAUAAAAGCUUGGAUGCUAUCAUUUUCAGUAUGUUCUGCUGAACAGAAGUUCAAUGUGCGAUUGAAUAAUUAUAUAAUUUCAUUUUCAUAGACACAUGAUUGUUCAUUGUAGAUCGCGCAAGAAAUGCACCACUUGAUUGGCCAAUAAGGUUCAAGAUAAUCAAAGGAGUUGCAAGGGGACUUUUAUACCUCCAUAAUGAUUCAAGAUUGACAAUAGUUCAUAGGGAUCUCAAAGCUAGUAAUGUGUUACUAGAUGCAGAGAUGAGACCCAAGAUAGCUGACUUUGGUAUGGCAAGGAUCUUUGGUGAUAAUCAAGAAAAUGCUAAUACCAAGCGAGUUGUUGGGACAUAGUGAGUAGUAUUUAAUUCCCAAAUACUCAAAUUGCAUAUGAUUGAACCCAAAUCAUCUUCAUAAUUUUGCUAACGAAAUGAUCUUAAUAGUGGUUAUAUGGCUCCGGAGUAUGCAAUGGAGGGCAUUUUCUCUGCGAAGUCUGAUGUCUAUAGCUUUGGUGUCCUACUUUUGGAGGUUGUGAGUGGUAUAAAGAUAAGCUCUGUUGAUCGUGUCCCAGGAUACCCAAACCUAAUAGUCUAUGUAAGCAAAUAUGGUUAGGUUUUAGUUUCUUCAUAUUAAAUGGUUUAAACUGUUCUAUUACACAAUCUAAUUUGUGUGAUGUGACUGUUUCAGGCGUGGAACCUUUGGAAGGAAGGGAAAGCAAAAGAUCUGGUAGACAAAUGUAUUGUUGAGAACUGUUUACUAGAUGAGGCUUCACUUUGCAUCCACAUGGGGCUCUUGUGUGUGCAGGAAAAUCCUGAUGAUAGGCCAUUGACGUCUUCUGUUGUGUUCAACUUGGAGAAUAGAUCCACAACACUACCAACGCCAAAUCACCCUGCAUAUUUUGUACAGAGAAAUAGUGAUAUGGAGCAAAUGAGAGAAGACAUUGUGAAUUCUAAGAACACAAUGUCUCUUACAGUCAUGGAGGGGAGAUAGAGUAACUCUAAAAAGUAGUUUGGAGUUUGGAUUGGAAUGUGUAACAUAGUGACUUGAAACUUGGAUGUUAUUAAUCGAUUUUUUUCUAAUUUUGAAUCAAAAGCUGCAUAUCCAAAAUUUUGAAGUGAGAAGAAAAAGUAUGACUGUAGGAGCAAAUCUUCAGCUAGCAAAUCAAAUCACAAGAGUAAAGUUGUAUUCGCAAGAGUAAAUCAUCAUGUCAUAGUUCCCUAACUCGCACGGUGUGACAUUAAGCUUCCUAAAAUUGCAUCUAGGGAGUUAACAAAGUAAAAAUGCUAGUUUAGGGAGAGCUAUAUGCGAUAGUGCACAAAUUCAGGAAACUGCAACGCAACUUACUCAUUGGAAAGUUUCACUACGUAGAUUCUACAGCAGCCUAAAUUCAUUGAUGGCAGGAAUACAUUAGUAAUUUUAACUGAAGGCGGCAAUAUGGUUUAGCAUGACCUACAUUCUUCUGUAAUCUAUAGACGAAGUACUACAUCUUCACAAUUCUAGAUGCACCCAUGACGAGUGUAACAAGUCUUCACUAAAUGACAAGGUAACAACUCCUUCGAUGUGUACAUCUCAACUGCCAACAUAUUUUGACUAGAAUGUUUCAAUUGAUUAUAGUCUAUUUGAAAUCUGGAAUUUUUGCAUUGUUGCGUGCAUAUCAAGUGUGCAGAGCUUACUUAUACAUACUGUUAGGAGCAAACCUAGGAUCUCUAGAUGUAGAAUUAGUCGGGAUUACGGGUAAACAUUGAGUUCAUGGGGUUCCAGUGUUAACCGAGAGGGAGAGAGAGAGAGAUGGGGUACCUUCACCCCUAGGGGUGGAAGCGGCAGAGCUGCCGGCCAUCGCUGGUUCUGUCGGUGAAGAUCUGCGCUAGGCAGUGACGCGCAGUGCCGUAGUUCGGUCGAUGAAGCUCUGCGCUAGGUAGCGACGCGCAGUGUCGUAUCGUGUCGUCGACGUGGCGGUGGUGGUGCUUCCUGUCACUGCUACGCCCCCGUGAUCGAUCGGUCUAGGGUUUUGUCAGUGGGGUGGAUGGCGGAACCUCGUACCAUGCGCUCCGGCCCCCACCUCUAUUUUUAUAGCGCAUGUGACAAGGGCCCACCACCCAAUGCUAGGGUGGGCGCCCCCGAUCAGGGCGCGAGUCAAGGGCUCAAUGGGCCGUGGGCCCAUUAGAGAGGAGAUCAAUCUAACACGUACUACCAAGUAGCAGCUUGUGCGCGUACCUUUUCUGUCUCUCUGAGUUUGGUGGCACUCAUGAGUUCCAUUUCGUUUUGUACCGUGGCUCUCCUCCUCUUGCCGGCCUUUUGUGCUUCCGACGACCGGCUUGUCCCAGGCAAGCCCCUUCUUCCCGGCACGACCAUCAAAUCUGAUGGUGGUAACUUCGCCUUUGGCUUCUUCUCCCUGUCCAAUUCCACUUCAGGAAAGCUAUACCUAGGCAUAUGGUACAACAAGAUCCCCCAGCUCACCGUGGUGUGGGUUGCUAAUCGGGCAACACCGGCCAUCUCCUCCUCAGGUCCUUCCCUUGUUCUGACCAACACCUCUGAUCCUAUCUUGUCCAAUGUUAUCGGCCGUGUUCUCUGGACAAUCAACACCAACACUGCUGCAGGCUCCUCACCAUCACCGAGAUCGAAUACUACUGGAUCGGUGGCGGUGCUUAUGAACAUAGGCAAUCUCAUCCUACGGUCACCGAGGGGCAUGGUGUUAUUGUCACAUCCUGAAAUUUUUGGAUUUCAGGAUGUGAUUAAAAAGAAUAAUUAAACAAUAAUUUUCUCAUAAUUUUAAAAAAAAUUCAACAUUUAUUUUCUUGUCAGGAAAUGUAGUAUAGGAAAAACAAUUGGCAGUUUUUCUAAAUUAAAUAGUGUUGUUCUGUGUGUGCUGCAUUCAUGCCGAUGCAUCUUGGUGUUUAUAGAGUGCAAAUGUUUUAAAAUGCAUUUAGACGACGACUAGAUUCUUCUGAGAAUUUUUUAGCUUUUUCUAAAAUUUAUUCUCAUUUUUCUAGGACCAAAUCUAUUUAUUAGAAGGCUCUACAAUCUUUUUCACGAGCUCCAAAUAUUAUAUUUGGACUCCUCGUGUCCCAGAAUUUUCAGACUAUGUUUCAUGGUUUAAAUGAUUUAUCUAGAAUUUUUUGAAUUUUUCUUUCACAAGAAAUUAUUUCUAAAAAUAAGCUAACUUCUCUAUCCUAUCGGGCCGAGCCCGUGGGCCCAACCCGCUCCGUUUCAGCUGCAAGCCUGCCCGACCCACUUGGGCCCAGCAGCCGCCGCAAUCUGCUGGCGUCCGAGGCCGUGCGCAUCGCAGCGCCGCCGCCCUCGUCCCGCAGCCCUAUAAAGGGCGACGCCUCCUCCCCUGCGCGCCCUGCGACUGCUCCCGUCGCCCGCCACCCUUCCUCGCAUGAGCAGCACCGCCGCCGUCCGAGCCGGAGUAGAGCCGAGCGCUGUCGGAGCUCGCCCGGUGUAUUCGCCGCCUUCUUCGCCCACCAGACGAAGCUGGUGACUCCAAGAGCUCCAGGAGCUUCGGGACAUCGCCCCGUGCACCCGCCACCGUUCACCAUCCUCAUCUCGUCACCGGAGAAGCUCGUCCACUUGAAGACUGGAGCCGCCGCCAUUUCCCGUCCGCCUUCGGUCAAAUUCCGGCCGGAGCACCGCAUCCCGCCCAUCGGUGAGCACCCCUACAAGCUCCCCUCUACCUCCUCUACCCCUGCGCCACCUCGCUUGAGUCCCUAGCCGCCGGAGCGCUAGCAAGCCGAGGUUCCUGAGCUCCAUCCGCCAUGGACUCAAGCUUUUGUGAUUUGGCCCCUGGAAGAUCCUGUAAUCUUUAAUAGUCUUCCUGUGUCUUGACCAAUCCUCAGAAAACCCCCUACAUCUUUGGGAUCCUUGCAACCAAGUCCAACCCGAGCACUUUAACAAUCUAUCCCCACCCUUUUCAGCCUUUUGCGAGCACUAUUUAUAAUGUCUUGUAAAACAUCUCAGCUAGCCCUCCAGAUCUUUGGUUAAUCACGAUUCGACCCUUGCAGCUUGUUUAGCCAGUAGAUUCCACGUUUUAGCUCCGUUUAUCCUCGUUCUUAUUUUGUUAGAUUCAUAUCAACUUAAAUGACGUAAUUACAAGCAAUUCUAAUCAUAUUCCCUAGUUUUAAUUUAUUUAAAAUAUUAAUAUGAUUAAUUUCUUAUGCACUUGUUUUCUAAUUAAAAGCUAUUUAGAUCUUUACCUCGCUUUCAUAAUUAAGUGUUAAUUUCAUUAAUACCUAUUGAACUAGUUUUUAUUAAUAAAAUCUAAUUAUGAGCUAUACCACGGUUGUUCAUAAUUAAACUUAAAUUGAUUAAUGUGUAUUCAAUAUGUUUUCUAAAUAAAAGUUAAGUACGUGUAACUCGGGUUUUAUAAACUAAUGUUAAUUUGAUUAAUGUGAAGAUAACUCUAAUCCGAAAUAUAAUUUGCUUAGUCGAACUCGAAAUACAAAGUUAUAUGCUUAGAUGUUUAUAUAUGCUUUAUUUCUAAAUUAAAUGUUUAAUUUGUAUAACUUGUACAUAAAUAUUUGUAAAUAAAAUUUGCCAAAGUUUUACACCAUAUUUUCAUAUAUAAAUAUAACUUGCUUAAUUCCAACUAAGGGUAUUUCUCUGAAAUAUCUUUACAUUAUUUCUCUCAGCUAAAAUAAAUGCAGCAUAUAUGUGGCAGAACCACCCAAAUUAACCUGGCUAAAUUGUACUCAACUUCACCUCACAUAUUAAUCGACACUUUAAUCGAGUCAAUCUAGUAGUCUGUCGGGUUAUACCUAAUAAACCACUUGUCUCGGAUCGAAACAAAGCAUACUCACACGAAGGUGAGUCCAGAUAUUACAAUAAUUCAAGUCCAUUAACAUAGAUCCCUCUUAAUUAUUACAUCAUAAUAGUUCGAAAGCAUAAAGCAAAGUUUUCAGAGUUCAAAGCAGCGGAAAUAAAGCAGAAGUUUAGACGUUGAUACAACAAUGCCAUAGUGAAGCCUCCCAUGACAUCAGUUACCACGAUCCUCGCCGACCGAGGAUGGGUCCCACUCGACCGUCUAACCCGGAGGGAGCUGGGUCAGCCAAGUCAAGCUAGCAGCACACUCAUCAACAUCUACCAUAUUACUUGAAAAACAAGCCACAAGCAAGGCUGAGUAUGCUAAUACUCAGCAAGACUUAACCAUCGGGUGGUAACUACUCCACCAACUUCUAGACAUGCAAGACUUUUUGGCUGAGGGGUUUGUUUUUGCCAAAAGCAGCUAAAUAGGUCCUUACUUUCAAACUUUAGCAUCAUGUUCUAGUUAAUUAACCAUUCUAGGUAAGCACCUGUUCUAAGCAAGCAUGUUGACCAGACAUUUUAUUCCAAGCAUCAUCAUUAAGAUAAACAUUCUCUGUUCCACUUCUUACUCAGUGCAGCACAGUGAUCAAGCAGUCUCAUACUGUGAGAGGCAGAUGAUUCAAAUCGAGUUUCUUAACCUUGCAAGGUGAACCUAACCCCACGACAGUGCGUACCACGACAGGUCCACACAUGUCAGCCGUCCCCAUCAAUCCCUGAGCUUGUGGACAGAGCCUACUUCCCUUGGAUAUAAGGCCCCACGGUCCUGGAACAUCAUUGUACCGUGACUGCACUUGUACCCACAUGAUGCACCAAGGGAAACUCCGUUCCAGAGACAAUAGGGAUAAAGCCACGCCCUGGUUCAAUCAGGUACUAGACUUUCCUAUCCUAUACUAGCUAUGAGAUUAGUACUUUCAAAUACUUGACCAUGAACACCGACAUAUUUCGGUCUUAGCAUUUUUAUUGCUAGACAGAUGGGGCAAUCCACCAAUUCAGACCAAAAGCCCAGCCCCGCCCGUCAUCCUUAUGGUUGUAGCAUAAGUAAGCAAGCAACUCCUAUAACUCGUGAGUGAUAGGAAAUCACUCGAUUUUUACCGAGUCCUAUUUAGCAUUGCAGCUACUCGACCUAUCAUACUAGUGUUCAAACAUAGGUACCUAAGAUCAUGCAACUAAGUUUUCAAUCAACUCCUAUGAACUUAAAUGCACAAACAUAAGGAGCAUAGAUAUUGCAUGAACUUUAAAUCAGGGUUAUGCUCCGGGACUUGCCUUCCUGAUCUAGGUUAGUGGGGAGCUCGUUGGAAGCCUAGCUAGGAUCUUGCUCAGCCUCGACUUGAUGCAGCUCUGCCGGUGUCUCCUCGGUUGUCUAGAGCAGCUUGUAAGUUCCGUUCGCAAGAUUCGCUUCUACACAAGAUGCAUAUGCAACAAUUCAAGAUUUCACGAUUUCAUAUGCAAGAUGCAUUUCAAAAGAUAUUGCAGAAGUAUUAAAACCGUAACGACCACAUCACCUAGACAAGAUUCCAAACUUUCAUUUCCUUCAUGAAGUAAGGUGUAUUGUGAUUUAAACCCGGGGUUGACCUUGAUGGUGAUUGUGCACACAUAUAAAGUUUUAUUCAUUUAAACUUCACAAAAGAUAGGUGGGGUCAUUUUAGGGUUGCUCAACCUGCAUUUGGAAAGUUAUCCUGUUUCUGAAUUUCUAAACAACUUAAUUUAAUGUAACAUUUACCAUAUUUUAAGUGUAUUACUCACAUGCAUUAAUUAAGCAAGUUAAAACAUGUAGCAACCAUAAGCUAGUAUUUUUUUCCUAGUUAAAUAGAGGCAUCAAGAACCUAACAAAAGUGAUCUUGCAUUUUUAUCUAUUUUCUUCCCUUUAUAGAGCAAAUAAUAAGAUCACACCUAGCAUUCAAGCAUUUAACUUAACUCAGUGAGUUUCACAACUAAACUAGUGUUGCAAAAGUUCUAUUCAGAACCAGCAUGCUAAAAUUAAAUCCACCGAGGUGGAUUCAUAUUUUUCUCAUUUUUCCAUGAUUUAUAAAGCAUUUAUUGGCUUAAACACAAAAAAAUCCUAAGGGAAAAAUACAAUAGCGACAUGUCCAAAACCAUUUUUCUGUAAAACUACUCAUCACCAGGAGUCUAACAAAGUUGGAUUUGUAUUUUUAGCAUUUUUCUACAUUUACCUAUGCAUUUUCAAAUUUUCAGCCUUUUUAAAACAAAAGUAAAACAGAAAAGAUAAAACGUUUCGCGCUCAGGCCCCUAGAAAGAUUUGGGGACUUGCAAUGUCACCCCUGGGGCUCGACCAGCGGCUUGCCGGCGUAAAUCCGGUGAGCGGCAGCGCUGCUAGGGUUAGGGAAGGGCACGAGGUUGCUCAAGGGCUCACCGCGAAGAGAUGUGCUGAGGGUCUCGGGUGCGGGGGCGGCUCGAUGGCGGCGGUUGAUGGCGAGGUCUCUAGCGCGGUGGCGGAGCUUCUUCUUCAGCGAUGGUAGAGGUGCGGGUGGCCAAGGGGUGGCUCGGGAGGCUCGAGUGGAGUGUGCGUGGUGCACUUGCGGGCUCAGCGGGUGGCAGGGAUGGCCGGAGGGUGGAGCUCGGCAGUAAGGUGCGCGACAACACUCUCGUUUUGCUAGCAGCGGGAGAGGUGGCACAGUGAGGUGCCGAUGAGGCUUGGGGCGCCUUUUAUAGGCUAGGAGAGGUGCGAGGAGGCGAUAAGGAUGCCGUGGGUGAGCUCAGGCCCACCGGGGCACACGGAGGCGGCCAGGCAUUGGCGGCGCAGAAGGAUGACGCGCCGGAGUGGCUGCGGCAGCGCGCGUGUGUGGGCACUCGACGGUGAGUGGUGGAGCGGGAUUGGGGCGAUGCACGAUUCCUUAGGUCGCGUGCAGGGACUGGCCGGGAGGGGAGCUCGAGUUGUCACCUCCAUGGCGGCGAGUGGCUGGGCAGCUCUGCCGGUGGCGCGGCGUGAUGUGGUGGUGGCGAUCUGCAGGGCGUGUGGUGCGUGCGAAGGCCAUUGGCCGGUGGAGAUGCAUAGUGGCGUGCGGCACGGAUUGGGCGAAACCCCGAGGACGAAUUGUCCUGUCGCCGACGAACAUUGGCUGGUGAGCUGCGCCGGUCGGGUGGCGCCACGUGGCGACAUCGCGCGCGAGACGCGCGGUGACCGCGCACCGGGCAGAAGGGUGGGAACGCGGUGGCUCUUGACAGCUAGGUUUAUGCUCUGCUAUUGAUCCAGAAAUCUUAGCGGACUACUUCUUAUUAGGGAAUCUUUGUAAAAGCCUCAUAGCGUCCCUAUGCAGUCACACCUCGGUAGUGUGAUGAGUGCAGCAUGGUUGGGUUUAAAGUUCUUCUGAACUUUUACACGACUUGUGGGUAAAGAUGUACAACCUCUGCAAAGUGUAAAACUGAUCGAUCAGUUGUGCUCACGGUCAAGAGCGGCCUGGACCCUCACAUGAUUAAUAAACUUGAAGAUGGUUUUAAAUCGUUAUUCUGGUUAUUUCUUGUGGCCUUGCUGAGUACCAACCAUAAAUGCACUCACUCUUACUUAUUGCUACUCAGAAGAGGAAGGUGUGUGAAGUUUUCUGAAGAUGAUGCUAAGUUCUAGGUGUACGCAACCCUUAGUCGAUUGCCUGUGAAGUUUGGAGCUUUCGUUUUCAGGAUUAACCUGUAAACCUCUUAUAGACUAUAACGUCAAGGCCAGUAAUGGUCCAAAAAUUACUACCGGUCAUUUGUGCAUGGUUUGUAUGAACGUCGCACCUGUUCGGCUGUUCACACGUAUAAAUCUCACUCUCGCUACCAAUUUUAGUCAUAUGGCAUGAACUUUGACGCUGAGUUGACACUGGUUUGCAGAUGAAGACAAAAGCAAAUGCAGUAAGGAUUAUUCUACCAGCUUUAGCGAGUCUUAUUGUUCUCACUUGCAUUAUACUUAUAUGGAUCUAUAAGUUCAGAGGUAAGUUUCCAUAAUAUAUAUACUAAUUGUGGUUACUAAAUGAAAACCUACUCACCAAUUUUCGGGUGCAGGAAGAAAAAUAAAUGCAGAAAACCACAAGAAGCUAAUGCAUAGGGGUUUAACAACUUCAGAAGAACUUCUAGAAGAAAACACUGCCCAUGAUUUUGAGCUUCCAUUUCUCAAAUUCCAAGAUAGUCUUGUCGCCACAAACAAUUUUUCCAAUAGAUUUAUGAUUGGGCAAGGAGGUUUUGGCAAAGUUUAUAAGGUAAUUAUUUAUGGAAGGUAUCUUUCUUUGUAUGUUCCAGUUUGAUCAUUCAAUCAAGUAUCUGCAUUACAUAUCACAACCUUACUUUUUUAAUAAUUACAAAGGUGACACUAGAAGGUGGUCAAGAGGUUGCUAUCAAAAGACUUAGUAGGGACUUGGACCAAGGAAUACAGGAGUUUAGAAAUGAAGUUGUUCUAAUUGCCAAACUACAACACAGAAACUUGGUUCGACUACUUGGGUGCUGUGUUGAGGGAGAUGAAAGGCUGCUAAUUUAUGAGUACUUGCCCAAUAAAAGUUUGGAUAUUGUCCUUUUCAGUAUGUUCAAUUCAUACACUAAAUAGUUGAGGAGUUAUAUAUUUUCAUUUUUCAUAUACAUGACAUAUUUACCUUGUAGGUUGUGAAAGAAAUGCACCGCUUGAUUGGUGACAACCAGAAAAAUGCAAAUACAAGACGAGUUGUUGGGACAUAGUAAAUACUAUUAAUCACAAGUUAAUAUGAAUAUAUAUGACUGUACUAAAUUCAUAUUUGUAAUUUUUGCAAAUGAAAUGUCUUUACCAGUGGUUACAUGGCUCCUGAGUAUGCAAUGGAGGGCAUUUUCUCCGUGAAGUUUGAUGUCUAUAGCUUUGGCGUGUUACUAUUGGAGGUUGUAAGCUGUUGAUCGCAUCCCAAAUUACCCAAACCUAAUAGUCUAUGUAAGCAAAUAUUACUACUUCACAGAUUAAGGGUUUUAAAUGUUUAGUCUUAUACGAUCUCAGUGAGUGACAUAAUUGUUACAGGCGUGGAAUCUCUGGAAGGAGGGGAAGACAAGGGAUUUGGUCGACUUAUGUAUUGUUGAGAAUUGCUUGCUAGAUGAAGCUUCACUUUGCAUCCAUAUGGGGCUUUUGUGUGUACAGUAAAAUCCUGAAGAUAGGCCAUUCAUGUCUUCAGUUGUGUUCAAUUUGGAGAAUGGAUGCACAACACUACCAGCGCCAAACCACCCUGCAUAUUUUGCACAAAGAAAUUGUGAUAUGGAGCAAAUGAGACAAGAUAUUACUAACUCUAAGAACACAAUGAUUAUUACAGUCAUAGAGGGAAGAUAGAUUAACUCAAAUUUUUAGUCAUAAAAUAUUUUCUAGGAUAAUUUUGUGAACAUAUUUUAGCUUUUAGUAUUAAUCUGGAAAUACAAUAUGCGGCUACCUUUUUGCUACUAGUAUAGUGCAAACGCUUUGUUUUGAAAACCAAAAGUAGCCUGGACGAAAUAAUCUUAAACGGAUAUAUGAAGCUCAAAACAUCCGAUUGGGAUGAUGCUGAUACGGAAAAGCAUAAGGUUUGUAAAACAAAGCCUCUACCUAGUAUGGGGGCAGCCGGGCAGGGGAAAGGAUAUGAUAUUUGGUUAUCCAUUUUCACCCAACUUUUUUUGGGGCUCUCGACAUCUUUGGAAGGUCAGGAUCAUACUGCUGUGCUCGUGUUUACAAUUGUAGCACCAUGUAUACACACUCUGUCUAUAGCAUAUAGUAGGGUGACUUGCAUCAAAUUAACGUACGUUUACUUAAACGUGGUACGUGUAGUUGGGUUUGGCCAGAAAGUCCACUGGCGGUUUUUUAGAUAAAGAAAAAAACAUUACAGCCUUCACACUCACGCGUGAGUGCAUAUAGCCAAUCGUUACAAAUCAAGUACUAGUACUUAGACUAGCUACAAAAUGCCACAUAAUAAAAAUGGUUCUAAACAAAGUAGAAAGAAGUGAAGGCUAGCUGAGGCUUAAUCCUAUUACUAAAUUUAAUCUUCUUCCUUUGCUUAUCUGUAAUGUGCGAGCCCUAUGCUUCACUGACAAGAUGAAAGUACGUCCGACUAGGCAAAACAACAACACGGUCUAUAGCUCACUUGUCUAAUCGGGGGCUCCAACUGGCGCCCAGGACAAAAGCCCAAAAUAAUCCGUCACCAAGCUCCUCCAGUGUCGUGUCAUCAACUCUUCUUCAUGCGGUAAUCUCCGGUUAUUAUACUUGCCACCUUGCAUUGGGAGUUUUGGAUCAUGAGCUCGUACGUAUAUAUGGACUCAUGCUGUGAUCAUGUCCGCUUGAAUCAACGAGGAUUUCCCCGUGCCGGCCGCCGUUCCCCCAACGACUACGUCGUCGUCGCCGCAGCCUAAUCCGGAUAGAGGCGAGGCAUCAGCAGCACCAACAAGGACUUCUGCCUGGGUCCAUUUUCUUGUCAGCGUGUUCUACGUAAAAGCUCAAACUCACCUACUGAUGCUUCAGUCCAUCUAUGGAAUUCUAGCGCCGGUGGCUCAUGACGCCUCGAAGGCUACAUUUUUUAACAAAGGAAAGAAGUCUCCUUUUGGUCUCAAGUAGCCCAAUAUCUUUUGAUGAUCUGGACAUUUGCACUUCACACACAUACAAAAAUAUCGGUGAACAAGUCAUUCCAAGGGAGUGUUGUGGUGACGUUCUGCCCAAAUGGCAGAGAAAUCGUCCAUAUAUGCUGGUGAAAGAAAAUGUUGUGGCAAAAAAAAAAUUGCUUGCUCACUGCGAGAGCCUCACAAGAAAGAUAUUCAAGCUUAGGGAAAAACAGGACAGGAGGAGAGAAACGCAAUAUGUGUGGGAGUGUAAGUAUCAGGAGCGCCUUUCUUGAAGAACCCGGAUGGGUAUUUAUACUGUUUCCAGCGAUGGAUUAUUGCCAACUUGCACUACGGGACACAGGAACAUUGCCGAGUGCCCCAGGCACUCGGCAAAGCUCCAAAAGCACUCGGCGAACCCUUUGCCGAGUGUAACACUCGGCAGUGGGCACACGACAAAAAACCUACCGGCAAACAAACUUUGCCGAGUGUUUUUUGCCGGGCACCCGGCAAAGCUUUUGCCGAGUGCCCAAAAAACACUCGGCAACAAUUUCAGAAAAAAAUAAAAAAAAACAUUCGCUGGCCGCCGCCGCCGCCGUCGCCACUGCCGGCCACCACACGCCGCCACCGUCACUGGCCCAAGCCCUCCCUGGAUCUCGCUGCCAUCUCCCUCCCCAUGGCCAGCGGCGCCGCCAUCUCCCUCCACCUGGCCCACGCCGCCAUCUCCCUCCCCCUCCAUGGAUCUCGCCGCGCCACCGCCGUCUCCCUCCCCCGGCUCGCGCCGCCGCUGUCUCCUCCAUCCCUGCCCACGCGCGCCGCCGCCCCCCCUCCGCCCCUGCCCACGCGUGCCGCCGUCUCCCUCCCCCUCCCUGGAUCUCGCCGUUGGGGGAGAGAGGGAGGGAGGGGCGGCCCCGGCCGUCGGAUGUCGCUGGUGGGGAGGGGGCAGCCGGAGAGGGAGGGGGAGGGAGAAGGAGGGGGCCGGCGCCCGGAUCUCGCCGGUGAGAGGGAGAAGGAAGGGGCCGCCGCCCGGAUCUCGCCGAGGAGGGGGCGGCCGCCGGGGGAAGGAGUGGCGGCCGGCCACCGCCGGAUCCGGCCCCGGGAGGCCACCACAGCCCCGCCCACCAUGGCCUCCGCCNNNNNNNNNNNNNNNNNNNNNNNNNNNNNNNNNNNNNNNNNNNNNNNNNNNNNNNNNNNNNNNNNNNNNNNNNNNNNNNNNNNNNNNNNNNNNNNNNNNNNNNNNNNNNNNNNNNNNNNNNNNNNNNNNNNNNNNNNNNNNNNNNNNNNNNNNNNNNNNNNNNNNNNNNNNNNNNNNNNNNNNNNNNNNNNNNNNNNNNNNNNNNNNNNNNNNNNNNNNNNNNNNNNNNNNNNNNNNNNNNNNNNNNNNNNNNNNNNNNNNNNNNNNNNNNNNNNNNNNNNNNNNNNNNNNNNNNNNNNNNNNNNNNNNNNNNNNNNNNNNNNNNNNNNNNNNNNNNNNNNNNNNNNNNNNNNNNNNNNNNNNNNNNNNNNNNNNNNNNNNNNNNNNNNNNNNNNNNNNNNNNNNNNNNNNNACGUAGGACACUCGGCAACUUUUUUUGAAAAAAAAUUAAAAAAAUCCAACAGUUUCAAAAAAUACCAAAUUUUCACACGAACCAAUAUAUGUUCUCUAUUGUCUAUACAAAAAGUUUUGUAGUCAAACAAAACUCGACCGUCACUUCGACUCUAAAUCUUAUCGAAUCCUCUCAAAGUUACUAUUCUUCUUCUGAGAUGCUUCGGUUUGUAAUCAUUGUACAUGAUGAAAAUGUGCAAAACCUUCUCAAUUUUUUUCCACAACCUCCACGUAUUAUAUCAUCACAUCAUGACAAAUCUCAUGAUUUUCAGACUUUGCUUGUUUUUUUUACAAUUUAAAAAUACUACUGCCACACGUUCAUGGUCGUGUUUCUUGAACAAGAUGUUCGAAAUUUAUUUUCAUUUCAUGGGUCAGGUCUCAAAUUGGGCCAAAUAACAUGAAUAUCAUUUUUCUACUCAUUUUGUUCCAUAAUUUGAAUCACUUGCAGUUCAAAUUUGACUUAUACCAAAAAUUUCCUUGAAAUGCAAUUAAUUAAAUAAAUAUAGCAAAUAAAUCCAAAAAUAUACCAAAUUUUAAUAUGGAGAAAUUUUAAUAUGGAGUACCAUAUGUUGUAUGCGGGGAGUAGGAAAAAUUUCAUGGUGAAAAGAGGAAAAAAAUUAUUUUUUUGCUGAGUGUCAAAAAAAACACUCGGCAAACCACCCUCUUUGCCGAGUGUCGACACUCGGCAAACCCCCCUCUUUGCCGAGUGUUUUUUUUGACACUCGGCAAAGAGGGUGGUUUGCUGAGUGUUUUUUAUUUGACACUCGGCAAAGCCCCGAUUUGCCGAGUGUUUUUUAUUUGCCGAGUGUUUUUGGCUUGGCACUCGGCGAGAGCUUGUUUGCCGAGUGCUCGAAAAAAAACACUCGGCAAAAAAAAUACACUCGGCAAUUUUUAGCUUUUCCGUAGUGUUGCAUUAUUAUGAGCAUAGAGACGUAAUGCUACUGCACGAAUUUAGGAAGCUACAACGCAACUUACUCGCUGGAAAGUUUGACCACGCAAAUUCUACUGCGGCCUAAAUUCGUUGAUGGCGAGAAUACAUUAGUAAACUCUGAUUGAAGGUGAACAAUGUGGUUUCGGGCGACCUACAUCCUUAUAUAGGCAAAGCACAUACUAAUUCUAGAAGCAUGCACUCUUAACGUCAAGGUAAAACAAUCCUUUUCUCCAAGAAAAUAACACCACGGUAAUAACAACCCUAUCGAUCGAGGUGCGUACAACUCUCAACUACGACUAACAGAUUCUGACUAGAAUGUUUGAACUCGUUUUAGCUAGCGUACAUCAGAAACCUGGAAAUUUUGCAUUGUUGCGUGCACACCAAGCGUGUAGGAGCAUAUACUAUAUAUACCACGACAAGUAGCCCGCUUCCGCGCCUGCAUUCUCUACCGCUUUGAGGCAUAAACUAGCUAGCUAGUAAACGCACUCAGAGAGCCAGAGACGCCGCAGCAAGUCCAAUGGCAUUCAUGAGUUCCAUUUCGGUUUGCACCAUGGCUCUCCUCUUGGCGGCUCUGUGUGCUUCGGAUGACCGGCUUGUCCCAGGCAAGCCGCUCUUGCCCGGCACCACCAUCGUAUCUGAUGGCGGUGACUUCGCCUUUGGCUUCUUCUCCCCAUCCAAUUCCACUCCGGAGAAGCUAUACCUUGGCAUAUGGUACAACAAGAUCCCCCGGCUCACCGUGGUGUGGGUUGCUAAUCGGGCAACACCGGCCAUCUCCUCCUCAGCUCCUUCUCUUGUUCUGACCAACACCUCUCAUCUUGUCUUGUCCGAUGUCAAAGGCCGUGUUCUCUGGACAACCAACACCACAGCCGCUGCAAGCUCCUCACCAUUGCCAAGAUCAAAUGCUACUGGUGGAUCAGUGGCAGUUCUUAUUAAUACAGGCAAUCUCAUCCUCCGUUCACCGAGCGGCAUGGUGUUAUGGCAGAGCUUCGACCACCCGACUGACACGGUACUCCCUGGCAUGAAUAUAAGGUACCACAAGACACAUGAAGAAAACCGCCUUUAUUCAUGGAACGGCCCUGACGACCCCUCGCCGGGUGCCUUCUCCGUUGGCGCAAAGACAGACACGUUCAUCCAGGGCUUCAUCUGGAACGGUUCGCUCCCAGAAUGGCGCGGCGCAGUAUGGACGGGUGCCACAGUCACCAGCCAGCAGUUCUUUCAGGUGAACACCACUAAUGUUGUAUACAUAGCAUAUGUUGACAGCAUCGAUGAGAUGUCCACGGUCUUCACCGUCUCUGAUGGUGCACCUCCCUUACGGUCAGUUGUGAGCUACUCUGGUCGGGUAGAAGUUAGUGUUUGGAAUAGGGAUUCGUCGGAGUGGGCAAUGCUUUCAGUGUGGCCGGAUUACGAGUGUAGCAAGUACGGCUACUGCGGGCUCUCUGGAUACUGCGACCACACAGAUGCCACCCCAACUUGCAAGUGCCUUGACGGGUUCGAGCCUGUGGACAAGGAAGAAUGGAGCAGCGCCAGGUUCUCGCGGGGAUGCAAACGAAAGGAGGUGCUUCGAUGCAGUGAUGGUUUCUUGGCGCUGCCCGGUAUGAAUGUGCCCGACAACUUUGUGCGCAUUGGGAGGAAGACCAUCAAGGAAUGCGCGGCUGAGUGCAGUGGCAAUUGCUCUUGUGUGGCGUACGCUUAUGCAAAUUUAAAUGGCAGCACAUUAGAUGGUGAUGCGACGAGGUGCCUUUUGUGGAUUGGUGAUCAUCAGCUUGUCGACACACAGAAGAUGCAGGGUGUGCGUCCCUAUAAUGCAGCUGGUGCUGAUAGUCAAGGAGAGACGCUAUAUCUCCGAGUUGCAGGCUUGUCAGGUACCAUUUCAUAUCAUAAGACCUUCUAUCAGAACCAAGUGUUCGCCUAUAAGUGUCAUUCCCACUUAUAGGAACAUGACUUGGCAGGCCACUGUUGUUCAUUUACCAGGUCUUAACAGUAGGCACCGAGAUCAUUGAAAAUCAUAUAGGACAGUGGCAACUAAUUUUAGAAUCUGAGCAGAUCCUAGAAUCGAAUGAUAAUCAUAAUGUAUGGCUACAUGCAUAUUGUAGUCAAUAUAUGUGUAGCAAAAAUAGAUACUGAACUGAGAUUUACAUUUUUAUUUCUUUCUCAGUGAUCUAAUCUCGCAUACAACAUCAAGGCAAGUUGUGGUCCUAAAAUUAAUAGUCACUUUUGUCCAUGCAUUGCAAGAAUGCCGCGCCUGUCCGGCUGUUAGCUCAUGUAAAUCUCACUCUUACUACCAAUUUUAGUCAUAUAUAUGGCAUGAACUUGACUCUAAGUUUUACACUGGUUUGCAGGUGAACGGACAAAAGCAAAUGCAGUAAAGAUUAUUCUAUCAGCUUUAGCUAGUGUUAUUGUUCUCACUUCCAUUAUACUUAUAUGGAUCUGCAAGUUCAGAGGUAAGUUAUCUUAAUAUGUAUACUGAUCAUGGUUACUAAAAGAAAACCUACUCACCGGAUUUUGGGUGCAGGAAGGAAAAGAAAUGUGGAAAACCACAAGAAUCUAAUGCAUAAGGGUUUAAAUACUUCAGAAGAAAUUCUAGAAGAAAACACCACCCAUGAUUUUGAACUCCCAUUUCUCAAAUUUCAAGAUAUUCUUUGCUCCACAAACAAUUUUUCCAAUACAUUUAUGAUUGGACAAGGAGGUUUUGGCAAAGUUUAUAAGGUAAUUAUUUAUGGAAGGUCUCUUUAUUCAAUCAAGUAUCUGCAUUACAUAUCACAAUCUUACUUUUUUUUUAAUAAUUACAAAGGUGACACUAGAGGGUGGUCAAGAGGUUGCUAUCAAAAGACUUAGUAGGGACUCGGACCAAGGAAUACAGGAGUUUAGAAAUGAAGUUGUUCUAAUUGCCAAUCUACAACACAGAAACUUGGUUCGACUUCUUGGGUGCUGUGUUGAGGGAAAUGAAAGGCUGCUGAUUUAUGAGUACUUGCCCAACAAAAGCUUGGAUGCCGUCAUUUUCAGUAUGCUCAAUUCAUAUAUAUAGUAGAAUAAUUCUAUGUUUUCAUUUUUCAUAUACAUGACAUAGUUAUUCCUUGUAGACUGUGAAAGAAAUGCAAAGCUUGAUUGGCCAAUAAGGUUCAAGAUUAUCAAAGGAGUUGCCAGGGGACUACUUUACCUCCAUCAUGAUUCAAGACUGACAAUAGUUCAUAGAGAUCUCAAAUCUAGUAAUAUUUUGCUAGAUGCAGAGAUGAGACCUAAGAUAGCAGACUUUGGUAUGGCAAGGAUGUUUGGUGACAACCAGGAAAAUGCAAAUACAAGAAGAGUUGUUGGGACAUAGUAAGUACUAUUCAUCACAAAUUAACAUAUGAGUAUAUAUGACUGCACCAAAUUCAUAUUCCUAAUUUUUGAAAAUGAAUGUCUUUACCAGUGGUUACAUGGCUCCUGAGUAUGCAAUGGAGGGUAUUUUCUCAGUGAAGUCUGAUGUCUAUAGCUUUGGCGUGUUACUAUUGAGGUUGUAAGUGGUAUAAGAUAAGCUCUGUUGAUCGCAUCCCAAAUUACCCAAACCUAAUAGUCUAUGUAAGCAAAUAUUACUACUUGCAGAGUAAGGGUUUUAAGUGUUUAGUAUUAUUCGAUCUCAAUGAGUGACAUGAUUGUUUCAGGCGUGGAACCUCUGGAAGGAAGGCAAAGCAAGAGAUUUGGUAGACAAAUGUAUAGUUGAGAACUGCUUGCUAGAUGAAGCAUCACUUUGCAUCCAUAUGGGGCUUUUGUGUGUACAGGAAAAACCUGAAGAUAGGCCAUUCAUGUCUUCUGUUGUGUUCAAUUUGGAGAAUGGGUGCCCAACACUACCAGCGCCAAAUCACCCUGCAUAUUUUGCACAAAGAAAUUGUGAUAUGGUGCAAAUGAGAGAAGAUAUUAUGAACUCUAUGAACACAGUGACUCUUACAGCAAUAGAGGGGAGAUAGAUUAACCCUUAAAUUUUUAGUCAUAAAAUAUUUGUUUAGGUUAAUUCUGUGAACUUAUAAUUUGCUUUUUUUUAGUACUAAUCUUGAAAUACAGUGUGCUGCUACCUUUUCCCUACUAGUAUGGUACAAAAACUUUGUUUGGAAACCAGAAGUAGCCUGAAUGAAAUAAUAUUAAACAGAUACAUGCAGCUCAAAACAUCCCGUUGAGAUGAUACUGAUAAACAAAGCAUAAGGUUUGUAAAACAGAACCUUUACCUAGCAUAAUGGCAGCCUGGCAGGGGAUAGGAUUGUUGCUUGCCAUUGAGCCGAGGUCAUCAUCGUUCACCAGCAGAAGCAAUCGCAUAACCCGCUAUCGCUUGCCGGCACGCAGGGACAAGAGACCGGUGGUGUGAAACUGUGAACUGGUGCAGCCAGUGGAUGCAGAGCGCGGGAAUGGGUGCGGCGUAGGCAUUCUGUCGAACAGGUGGAAGGCUUUCCGCGAGCACGCAGGCGAGGCGGAAGACUAGCCGAAGCCACCGAUGAUGAGAAAGUGGGCAGUUGGGCACGCAGCUUGAUCUCGGUCGCUCACACUUUCCUCUCCUCUGCAUUGGCGUCCGGCUGGCGAAGGCGGAACCUGGGAUCUCAGGGAGUCAGGACUCAGGGUUGUCGCCUUGUCGGAGACUCGGACAUAGGAGGACGACGCGCGCUGCGGGAGAAAUUCAAGCGAGUGCUCCCAAUUCCCAAAUUUGAGCUGCAACUUGCAAGCGUACGCCAGCCCAACCCAAAGAAACUAAUUUUAGACCCAUGAAGAUUAAGGCCCACCAAGCCUACAAGGAAAAGAGAAGAAAGCCCACGAAGCCCAUCAGCACCGAAAGAGAAGAAAAGCUUGAUGAGUCCAGAAAUUCCGUGGGGUGCAAGUUUUUUUCGACAACCCGUCUGGCGCAAGUUAGCCCAACAUUAAGCGGACCCCACGUGCCAGCGACACAUCUAGAAAGCAGCCCACUUGUCUGAUCUGACUCCACCUCGCCGGCCUGCCCAAUCCCUUCCAUCUCCAAACCGGAAAAAAACCCACAGAACCCUAGCCUCCCUACCUCUGUCCUGCUCGCUCCGCCGUCCAUCCACUCUACUGCCAGCGGCGGAGAGAAGACCCAACCCGCCGGCUUGAUCUGAGCCAUGGACAAGGUAAACAAGGGGGCGCCGAUCGAGCAACCCGUCCUUCCCCUCAUGCUCGCCAGCUCGCGGGGGGAUCUCUUCUCUCUGUUUGUGAGACUGAUUUGGGUGUGGUUUUGUGCAGCAGCCCGGGGCGCAGGGGGCGGAGAAGGUGCCGGAGGAGAAGGUUCGUAUAUCACUUACCUCCCCUUCGUCCGCACAGGUAGGGCUAGCUUGCGAUUUUGCUUCCAUCAAGUGGCGUGGGAUGUAUGAGCAUUAUAUAUAAAUUGAAUUGUAUUUUGGCCGCAAGCUCUUUUCUGCAUGACUGCUUUGCCUAGAUCGCGUUCCCGAAAUUGUAACAUAUUAUCCUCUGAAACAUCUGUUUGUUCUCUGAGAUGUCUGAAUCAGCAGUUUGUUUUGAGCGGCUGCUUAAUGCAUACUAGCAUAUGUUUGUAUGAAGUAGCAAUUUGUGUACCUUCGUUCGGUAGUAUAAUGCUCCUUUCCCUAAGGGGGGUACAUGGCUGAUGGCUCCUUUGUGCAAUCAGAACUGCAUUUUUUUUUUUUUUGGGGGGGGGGGGGGGGGGGUUAGUUAGCAACUAUUUCUAGUCAGAACUUACUCCUUUUUUUUUUUGUUCAUCCAGCAACUUGAUGAGAAAGAGUUAUAAAGGAAACUGAAAAAAGAUCAAAAGGUAUCAAUCAAGUUCUGUCUUGCUUUGCUCUCUAUCCUUAAUUUUUGUAUUGGUCGUAAUUGGAUGGCCUGAAAAUGGUAAUUAGAUCAAGUUUAACAGACAAAAGUGAUUUCACUGAAGUCAGAAAUGAGCUGAACUAUAAGAUUGGACUAUUCUGUUAUCAUGUGCAUGGAUAGUCAUUUAGGGAUUAAAUGUUGCACUUGCAGGCAAAAGAGAAAGAAGAAAAAAAAACUUAAGGCGAAACAAAAGGAGGCAGCUAGGCUCCAGGUUCAAUUAUAAUGCUCACUAAUCUGUAUAUGACUGAACAGAUGAUCCAGACAUCUAAUAAGUGAAAUGCAUGUUGGAUAUGACUUAGGCACAAGCAGCCUCAGAUGGAACAAAGAAGACUGAGAAAAAACAAAGGAAGAAAGCUGCGGAGGAUGAAAAUCCAGAGAAUUUCAUUGAUCUAGACACUCCUAAUGGCGGGAAGAAAUUGCUUGCGCCUCAGAUGGCCAAGCAAUACAGUCCAAGUGCCAUUGAGAAAUCGUAAGAUGCCUGAAUAGUUUUUUACAUUUGUUGAUUUUAUAAUUUCUAGCACUGUAAAUGUAUAUUUCAACCGCAUGGUUUCUUUAUUUGUAUGCAGAUGGUAUGCCUGGUGGGAAUCAUCAGGAUAUUUUGGGGCAGAUUCUGCAAGCACAAAACCACCAUUUGUUAUAGUAAGUGAUUCAUGCUCUUGAAGGUUGUGCAUGAUAAGAUCGAAGCUAAUUUAGCAUACUGCAUCAUUUUACAUCACUGUAGUGCUUUUUACAUUGUCAAAUAGUGGGUUAGCUUCCAACAAAUAGUUGUCAUUUCUUUUCAGGUUCUGCCACCGCCUAACAUGACUGGAGCUCUUCACAUAGGCCAUGCGCUUACAGUGGCUAUAGAGGUAUUCCUAUUUUUUUUAAGAGAUCUAUAUGCCAUGUUAACACUAGACAUUGACUAUACAAUGCUUUUAUUCUCAUUCAGGAUGCUAUGAUACGGUGGCGUAGGAUGUCAGGUUACAAUGCACUAUGGGUCCCUGGAGUGGACCAUGCUGGCAUUGCUACACAGGUCUGCAUUUAGGAAUUCAUUAAUCUUCUGGAGUUUAUAUGAUGAAUCAUACAAUACAAAUUUAGAUGAUAGAAUUUUGUUGCUGAUAUUAUUUUGGCUGCAUAUAUUGUCAUUCAAGUUGUGGAACAAACAUGUAGAGACACAUGCUGGCAGUGCUAGUUAACAAUGUGCAGACAUUAAAAGAACUCCGUCAGCAUGGGUGUUGGGGACAUAUUAAUGAAAUCCACUUAUGCAAUUUUACUGAAACAUUUUUCAAAAUAAUGUUUUGAAUCCCAUUUCCUACUUUUGGAUGUUAACUGUUUAGCAACUGUUCAUCCAUUAAGUGCAUAAUUACAUAGCUUUUUUGUUGCUUCUAUACCCUUGAGCAAAUUAACAUUGUAUGAUUUUGGCCAAAUGUGAUUGUUUUGUGUUUGCUCAUUUCCACUUGUAUUAUUUCUGUGAUUUAACUUGGAAUUUGUAGUUCAACUUCUUGUUUGGACUUGACAAUGAGUACUUCAAUGUUUUGUACUCGCUUCAUUUUGAUAUGGAAAAAGCUAUCGCACGCGUGGUCGCGCUGGUGUCAAGUGCGCGACCUUGCGUGGCCCGUGCGUGAGCUGUUGGAUCGUGAGCCGAUUAAGAUGGGCUUUAACUAACUGGAGGUACAUUUAUAGGCUACUUAAAUAACUGGGCUAAUUAGGCAAAAGCUAACGUAUGCAGAUCGUGUGGGGUGAAGUGGAUUGUACAGCCCAAGUAUUUAUUAUUGUGUAUGAACUUUUAAAAAUGCGAUAAUUUUCAUAUGGAGUAUCCGUUUUCAAAUCCGAUUGCGCCAGCGUGUUAGUUACGAUGAGAUCUAUGAAACAAGAUCCAUGAUGCAUAUGUUUUGGAUUAAUUUUAUGUAGUGGCAACUUAUAUUGUGGUAUAGUAUGUGCUUCUGUAUCAAGUUUGUAGCAACUUAUGUCCAAAGCUCCAAACAAACUUUACAUAUAAGUUGCUACACAAAUAAUUUUGAACCUUAUGCCAUUACCUAUAUGAAGUAUCUACAUAAGUUGCCACAUUGUCUUUAUUUGAGUUGUUAUUUUAGCUGCGCAUAAGUUGUGUACACAACUUUUACCUAAGUUGUUACAUUUGUCUCUGUAUAAAUUAAUUUGCUCCUCGACAUUAGAAAUGCAAUAUAAGUUGCUACGUAGUUCAUGCAAUAUAAGUUUCUAGAGUUUUGGUUUUAGAUCUAGUUUUUUAGGAUUUUAAUUUUUGGUUUAGGAUUUUAGGGUUUACAUUUAAUGUGUAGAUUGUCUGUUGUCUUUAUUGAGGUGAUACAUUAUCUUUAUCUAAGUAGAUCGUACAACUACACAUAAUAUAAGUGGAAGAACUGUGGUGAUAUAAAUUGAUACAUAGUGUCUACAUAAGUUAAUACAUAGCCUAGUACAGUACUACUAUUUUUAUACAAGUUGAUACACAAACUCUACACAAGUUGAUACAAUCUCUAUAUAAGUUGAUAGUACCGUUAUAUAUAAGUUGCAAGCUCAAGUAAAUUUACUUCAAAACCUAUGGAAUAUGGGUCUUAUUUUGUAGAUUAUAUCGCAAGGAACACAACUGUGAAAACGGAUUAAAAAACGGACUCUUAAUGAGUUAUCAUCAUUAGAAAAAAAAUGGAACAAAAUAAAACACGAUGGCAGUCUCCAUGACUCCACCUAACCGUCCUGCAUGGCAAUUAAGAAAAGCAUGCGGAAGCAUGCGGUUGUUGUGUUGUUUCACACGGACACCAUUAGAUGGAUAAAGGGGUCGCGCGCUCACCCUCUGCGCGACCAGUCGCGCGUUAACGAGCUCCUUUUGACAUCUGCUCUCGUGUAUAUCAGGUUGUUGUAGAAAAGAAGCUUGUGCGUGAAAGGAAGCUGACAAGGCAUGACAUAGGGCGUAAAAAUUUUGUUUCUGAAGUAAGCACUUUUUCCGAUGACAUGAUUAUGUUUUGUUGGCCAAUUGAUCAUUUGUUUCCAUUAUAUUACUUAGUGUCAUAUGUUCUGAAAUGAAAUUGUUGACUAUUUUGUUCGAAUACUUAAUCCUGCACCUGAUGUAUCAUUUUUCUGUUCACUUCACUUAGUCCAUUUUUUAAAUCUUCUUACAAACAGGUACUCAAAUGGAAAGAUCAAUAUGGUGGUACCAUAUUGAAUCAAUUGCACCGGCUUGGGGCCUCACUUGAUUGGUCCCAUGAGGUAACAUACCUAUUCUAUUCAGUUAGGAAAAAACAUGGCAUGUGGUUGAACCAUGCAUAUUAACAUCAUUUCAAACUGGACACCAGGCUUUUACAAUGGAUGAGCAAAGAUCAAAAGCUGUAACUGAAGCUUUUGUAAGGUUACACAAGGAAGGCCUGAUAUUUAAGUUAGUUCCCUCACACUUUUUGUUCGAGUGUAAGUGUUAAAAUGAAAAAGAGAAUCCACUAUCAAUUGUGCUUUAUUGUUGACCUACACUCCUGUUUUUCAAUUGCCAACCUUGUUUGAAUGGAUAUUCCUUUUCAGAGACUAUCGCCUUGUGAAUUGGGAUUGCAUACUUCGAACUGCAAUCUCUGACAUCGAGGUUAAUGGAUCUUUAUAUUGUUUAUGAUAUGUUAGAUAUCGUUAUCCUUUGUGUGCUUGAUUAAGAUAAUUUUCUUAGAUUGAAAAUGCUGAUUUGACAGGUUGAUCAUAUUGAUCUUAAAGAUGAAACUAUGCUAAAGGUCCCUGGUUAUGCCAAUGAGGUGCAGUUUGGUGUAUUGAUAUCUUUUGCCUAUCCUCUUGAGGAAGGACUGGGUGAGAUUGUUGUAGCAACCACCAGGAUCGAAACAAUGCUGGGCGAUACUGCAAUAGCUGUUCACCCCGAGGAUAAAAGAUAUAAGCAUCUGCAUGGAAGGUAUGCAGUCCACCCCUUCAAUGGCCGAAAACUCAAAAUAAUCUGCGAUGCUGAGUUAGUCGAUCCCACGUUUUGUACUGGGGCUGUCAAGGUAAGAGCUGCUGAGGGUUACUUUUUUCCAAUCUUAUCUACUUGGACCUUCCUCAUAUUCUUAGAUGGUAUUGUUUGCUGGUUUUUUAUGCAGAUUACACCUGCCCAUGAUCCAAAUGACUUUGAGGUUGGAAAACGGCAUAACCUGGACUUCAUCAAUAUCUUCACUGAUGAUGGAAAAAUAAACAGCAAUGGAGGUGCACAAUUUGAAGGAAUGCCAAGAUUCACUGCUCGAGUUGCCGUUAUUGAGGCGCUGAAGAAAAAAGUAUUACUGGAUUUUCUUAACUAUAUCCCCUUGAUAUCUGAUUAUCAAUCUUUUUUAUGAAUAUAUGAAUUACAAUAUGUGGCAUGGAAUGCGUGAUUUAACAGAGUGAAAAUGCAAAUAGUGAAAUACCAUGGUCUUUGUAUCAUAACCAUGAUCUAUCUAUUUAUUUCCUAGUGUGUUGUACAAAGGGGAAAAAAUCAGUAUAGUAAUACGGAGUCACGUUAGUUCUACCAUGAUCUUCAGUUCAGUAUCAGUACUGGAAAUAGCUUAUCAGCAUCAGAUUGGGAUCGGUUAUCAAUAAUUAUGAUUUUUCUAGGAUUUCAUGUUUUAUAGAUAUCCUUCAUAAUGUGGAAAUUGUUGAUAGAUCACUUGAUAGGUCUUUGGCUUCUUGUUUUAUAUGAUGGAUUAACCUUUUUUUAUUCUUCUAAUUAAGGGGUUGUUGUUGACACCGUUUUUUGACAUACGUCAAAGAUGGCGUCAAAAGGAAGUAGAGGUGCCGAUGCAUACUGAAGAGACAACGGCUAGUGGAAUCGGCCGAUAGGGUUGCAGAGGGCACAGCCGAUGAAGUUAUAAGAGAUCGAUCGAUGAUGACGAAAGCUUUGCCGAUGGAGGAUGAUAGAGGCAUAGCCGAUGGAGUCAGCCGAUGUGAACAGAAGGAUUCCAGCCGAUUGGAAAUGUCAAAGGUUCAGUCGAUGAAGAGCAGGUUUUGGCCGAUAGAGGCCAAGUUCGUUUCCGACUCCUGCGCGAGUCAUUUUUAUUUUAUUUAGGGAGUUUGUUUCUUUAGAGAUAGAUCUUAUGUUUUGUCGUAAUCGACUAGGACUAGAAGUUUUGAUGUUUAGGGUAUAAAUAGGGACCCUGCGAGGUCUGGAAGGAUACACAUCAUAAUCAAUACAAAUCUACUAUUUUUGCAAUUUACUCUGAAGUCGGUGACUUCGCCAUUGUUUUCUUUUCUUCACGAGUUCUUCCAAGCUAGUUGGGUUGCAUCGCUUCGAUCUCCGGCUAGACCGUAAGUUUCGCGUUUACCGAAUACUGUCUAGACUUUAACUUCGGGCGUAUCGCUGUUGUUUCAUCUAGAUUUAUUCACAAGUUAUCGAUAUUUGCUAGAUCUGCAAGCUUUAUUUGUUAAAUCUUGUUGUUUUAGCUUUUAUCACAGUUAUCCAGCUUGAAACACGUUUCGAUUGGCUUUUACUUUGUUUUCUUAUAUCAAUCUACUAUCACAUAGCUGAUUAAAUCUGUUUUGAGUGUUGUUCACGUAGUACUGUUUAGAUUGUGUUUUACGCUUCCUUUACAUCUACUACAACCACAUUGGCUGACCUAGUCGAUUGUCUUUUGUUCAUGUCGGCAGUCCUGCCGAUACGCCAUGUGGAGCGAUUCAAAAUACCAGCCGAUUUUCUCUUGUAUUUGACAUUUUACUUGUCUUUGUCAAUCAACAGGUCAGAUUGAUUGGCACGCCGCGGAUCGAUAGGGCUACAAUCCAAACAGGAUCGAAUCAAAUUCUCCCAGGUUUCGUGUGUUAGUGCGCAAGGGUCUUCUCUUGAUUUUUGCGUCAACAGUUGUAUAAGGACACAAAGAAGAAUGAAAUGAGCUUGGGCAUCUGUUCAAGAACUAAUGGUGUAGUGGAGCCUAUGAUAAAACCACAAUGGUUUGUUAAUUGCAACUCCAUGGCCAAGGCAGGCCUUGAUGCUGUGAGGUCCAAAAAGAUUGAGAUCAUUCCCCAGCAGUAUGAACAAGACUGGUACAGUUAUAUCAUACAAUGCGUCUCCUUUUGCACUCAUCAUGUCAAAUGAAUGACAUAAAUCUGAAAUAAAUUACCCACCCAUUACUGCUGUCAUAAAUCUUGAAAACAUACGUGAUUGGUGUGUUUCGAGGCAACUUUCGUGGGGACAUCGUGUACCUGCAUGGUAUGUGACACUAGAAGAUGACCAGGAUAAAACCCUUGGUUCUGAUAACGACCGUUGGAUAGUCGCAAGAAAUGAAAGCGAUGCAAACCUGGAGGCACAGAAAAAGUAUCCAGGAAAGAAAUUGUGGCUAGAUCAAGACCCUGAUGUGCUGGACACAUGGUUUUCAUCUGGUCUCUUCCCCUUAACAGUUCUUGGUUGGCCGUCCGAUACUGCUGACCUCCGUGCUUUCUACCCAACUUCGGUACUAGAAACUAGACUUGAUAUUCUCUUCUUUUGGGUAGCAAGGAUGGUGAUGAUGGGACUGCAACUGGGUGGUGAUGUGCCAUUUCAGAAGGUAUAGCAAAAAUUCCCGUUCAGUGCCAUUUAAACUGUAUCAUAUGAUUGUAGCAAUCUAGUCCAUACACUUUGUUCAUGAUAGAUACUCUAUUCAAAACCUAUCGCUGCUUUCUGUAUCCCCUUAAUGUGGUUAAAUCCUGUAACACUAUAAUCUGAUCAAGAAGAGACCCAUGCCUGUAAUGUUGUGGAUGUAUAGUCAAGUUACCAGAAGUUUGUUAACUAAAAUAUGGAACCCUCCCAUUUUAAAUCAUUCUCUACUGAUGUUCUCCGCCCUUUAUAUCUGCAUAAAGACCACACUGAUUUCCUUCCCAAUGAACUCUACCUUUUUAACGUUUACCAUAUACUAGUCCAUCAACCCGUGCUCCCGCACGGGCUAAUAUUUUUAGAAGCUAUUGUAUUUAAAAAUUAUUUAAAAAUUAAACUCCUAACUAAUAAUCAAAAUUGUUUACCUACUACUCUCUUAUUUUUCAAUACUUCAACAUAAUGCUUAUAUAGAUAUGUACCUAUCUUUGUCCAGUUGUGAUUGAUUUUUAAUUAAUAAUUACUCUAUGCACGUUUUCAUCCAUAUUCAUACUUAUUUCAUUUUGUAUCACACCUCCAAUCCUCUAUACAUUAUGUUUAGCAUACAAAUUAAUAUUUUUCAUCGAUUCCUCAUAUACAUAUAUAAAUGGUCUAAAUGGUGGCACUCAUCAUGUGUAUAUAUUUUAACUUAGUAUUUUUAUAUUAACAAUGAUAUAAAUAUGUAAUUUAGAGUCAUAUAUUAGUUUACUUUUUGACAUUUCUGUAUGAUGCACACGAAGGUAAUUAGAUUAAUAUUUAGACAUUUACUUUAGGUUAUUUUUAAUAACGACACACGUGGGUAACAUAGAUAAAAUUUUAGAAUGACAUUUUAAGUUAUAUACUUUAUAAUGAUGUGUAUUAGUAAAUUGGAUGAAGAUUAUGGGGUUACUUUAGAUUAUUUUUUAUAAUAGCUGAGCUCGGUAAUUUAGAUAUAGGUUUAGAGCUCAUUUUUGAAUAUUUUCACAGUAACAAUGGAGGGUAACUUUUUAGAAAAUAUAAUAGAUCAAUGGCUAUGAUUAUUAGAGUUUACAUGAUUGUUGUUUGAUGUUUUUAAUUUUUAUGAGAAUUUAUCUCUUUUUUCUAGCUUGUCUCCUGGGAACUAAUGCGGAGUCUCCAAUGGAAAAAAAUGAGACUACAUUGCUACAAAACUAUUACCAUAAGCUACCUCUCGUUUGUUAAAUAUUCGAACACAAUACUUAUGUAGAUAUAUACUUAAUAUCUUCAUCCAAUUGUGAUAGAUUUUAGUUAGUAAUUACUCUAUAAUAUUUUCAACCACAUUUAUAAUCUUUAACUUUUCACUUUGCAUCGUAGGUAUGCGCUUGAAUUUGUUUAAUGAACCCUAAGUUUGAGAUAUAACUUUAGCAUAGAAAUCUAUAUUCUCAUCACUUUAUAUCCUUAUAAAUGGUGACACACAUCAUGCGUAUAGACCUUAAUUAUUAUAUCGUAUACCAAUAGUGAAAGAUAUAGACGAUUUAGAAUCAUAUAUUGCUAUAUAUUUUUAAUUAAGCUUAUUUGAUUCAAACGUAGGGUUACCCCAUGUUAUUUUUAAUAAUAGCAUGUGUGGGUAAUAUAGAUGCAAAUUUAAGGGGUUCCUUUAAGUUUUUUAAGUAAUAGUGGUAGGCAAUUCAAUUGCAAAUUAGGGGUUAUUUUAAAUAUUGUUUAUAAUGGCAUAAGUGGGUAAUUUGGAUGAAGAUUAGGGGGUUACUUUAGUUUAUUUUAUAUAAUGGUAGAGGUGGGUAAUUUAUAUGUAGAUUUAGGGGGUUACUUUAGGCUAUUUAUAUAAUGGCGUAGGUGGGUAAUUGUUUAGAAAACAUAAUAGAUCCAAAGACUAUGAUGAUUUCAAUCUAUCGAUUGAUGGUCGGAUGUUUUGCUUUUUUGUGAGAAUUUCUAGGAUUUCUCUCUCGUUUUAGACUGUCCACUUAGGAAUCUUAGGUGGCUUUACCUGGAGGUCUCAAAUGAAGCCUCCAAUUAGUAAUAGUAAGAUGUUAGGUGAGACAUCAGCACAGUGGGGUGCCAUGGUUUAUUAAGUCCAUUCUAUAUUUUUAAAUCCAUAAAGCCACCAUCUUUCCUUUUGUUAGUGUCUGCAAGUAAUAUCUUUUUUAUUUUUGAACUCAAUUAGCAAGCCAAACCAUAUACUGAGGCUACAGAAAUUUGGCACUACAUAUGGCAGUCAAGCAUAUUUCAUCUCUUGUCCAAUGAUCAAUGACCACACGCCCUGUUCUCAGGUUUAUUUACACCCUAUGAUCCGUGACGCACACGGAAGAAAGAUGUCAAAAUCACUUGGUAACGUCGUUGAUCCUCUUGAGGUGAUAAAUGGCAUGUCACUGGAAGGUCUUCUGAAACGUUUGGAAGAAGGCAAUCUGGAUCCAAAUGAAUUAAAUAUUGCCAAAGAAGGAAAGAAGAAAGAUUUUCCUGAUGGCAUAGCUGAAUGUGGUACCGAUGCCCUCCGCUUCCCACUGAUUGCUUAUACUUCCCAGGUGAUUAUGGUGCCCAGAGAGUUUUUUCUGUGUUAUACAUGCAUUGAAGAUUUUAUUACAAUCUAUUUUGUUUCUUAGUCUGACAGGAUAAAUCUUGAUAUCAAGAGAGUGGUUGGAUACAGACAGUGGUGCAACAAAUUAUGGAAUGCCAUCCGUUUUGCGAUGGGCAAACUGGGUGAUCAUUACAUUCCACCUUCAACUGUUGAUGUAUCUUCGAUGCCACCAAUCUGCAAGUGGAUACUCUCAGUGCUUAACAAGGCCAUUGGCAAAACCGUUACCUCUUUAGAAGCAUACAAAUUAUCUGAUGCGACAUCUACUAUAUACUCUUGGUGGCAGUACCAUCUAUGUGAUGUAUUUAUAGAAGCUAUAUCAAACCUUACUUCUUCAGCGAUUCUCAAGAGUUUGAAUCAGCAAGAGCUGCCUCCAGAGAUACCCUGUGGAUAUGCCUGGAGACUGGUCUGCGCCUGCUCCACCCAUUCAUGCCUUAUGUAACAGAAGAGCUCUGGCAGCGUCUUCCACAGCCCAAAGAUUCUUGCAGGAAAGAUUCAAUUAUGAUUUCAGACUAUCCAUCCCUUGUUGAGGUAAUACCUGUGUCCUAAAGAAGAUUCUGUAGGAAAAAUUCAAUUACGAUUUGAGGACAGAGUCUUUGAGUACUUGUUUACCCAUGGGAAAAUAUUGUUCUUUAUGACAGGGACGGACUAAUGAUAGACUUGAAAAUCAAAUGGACAUUGUCUUGGAUGCCGUGAACAGAAUAAGGUCACUGAAGCCACCAACAGAUUCAAAUGAGAGGUAUGCACAUGGCCAUCUGUUUUGUUUUGUAUUUGCUUGUUUGGUUCUUCAAUCUGCUUUUGCAAAAUAGAGUAAUAACUUAUUGAUAUUUUCUUGUUCUUUCUUUUUUUCAGACGACCUGCUUUUGCACUUUGCCGAGGCCAAGAGAUUGCUGCCACUAUCCAAUGCUAUCAAUCUCUAAUCGUGUCCCUUUCCUCCGUAUCACAUCUCAAGGCAGGGGCGGAUCCAGAACGGGGCUGCGCCCUGGGCUGAGCUGUUGAAUCACACCUAAAAUAGUCUAAUUUUGUCUCCUAAACCUCAUUUUGUUAGGCUAAACAGCACAUAGGUUAAAGGAACUCCAUGGUCUCGCCCCGGGCUGCAGCCCGGGCGGCCCGGGCCCUGGAUCCGCCCCCUUCUCAAGGUAUGAUUGUUUUAUUUUUCAUUAUGGAAAUAUCUUUCCCCUUGCAUCAUUUACAAUCACUUUAUCCUGUAUGGACAUAAAACCUAAAUGGAGUUUUAUUCCCUCAAAUUGCUAUGUUCUUGCCAAAUAACUGUUCUUCUUGGCUUUCUUCAGCUUUUCACAUUUAUAUGCUACCUACUUAUGAACAAAACUACAAAAGCACUGAUCUAUUGUUGGAAAUUCUUCAGAUCCUGACAGAGAACGAUGAAACUCCAGCUGACUGUGCAACUGCUGUUGUAAACAAAGACUUAUCUGUGUACCUUCAGCUCCAAGGAGCUCUAGAUGCAGAUGCUGAACGUGAAAAGCUGAGGAAGAAAAAAGACGAAAUUCAAAAGUAAGUGUGCAUAUACUGUCUUCCCUAUCCAUUUUUACCGUCAAGACUCGCUUAACUUCACUGUUGUAUGACAUCAGUAACAUGGUCUCUUGUGAUACACGCAGGCUGCAACAUGCGCUGUCACAGCAAAUGGACGCCUCUGGUUACCGCGAGAAGGCUCCACAGAAUGUGCAGGAAGAGGACAUGAGGAAGCUCACCGCCCUAUUAGAACAACUGGAGGUCAUCAGUGAAGCUGAGAAGAAAUUAGAUGCAAAUAUUUGAAAUAACCGAGUCUGUGGCCUCUGUUUCAAAGAUAUCUGCUUGUACCGAAGUUGAUCCCGCAUCUUUUUUUUGGUUCAAAAAGCUCAGUUAUGUACCUGUACGUUCAGGUUUAUAAUUGAUGGCUCAGAUCAAAAUUGCAGUUGCAUUUUCCAGCGUGUAAGAAUUGUACUGACGGUCUAUACAGAACAGUAUUUUUUGAAUGUCCGAUAUUGGCAAACUCUUGGUGUUGAUGCAUGUGGGCACUCUGCCAGAAUAUGUUGUAGCUGUAUUGUUGUGGUUUCAGGUCCGCAAGCCUCACGAGACUAUGCAACGGGUCCCUUGUGUAGCAUUUCUUCUGCGGCAAAAGUUGUGAAAUCAAAGCAAAAUCUGCAAGCCAAUGAUAGUCGUCGCCGGUGCGUCCUCCCGCCUGCUCCUCUUGUUCAUCUUCCUAGGCAGCAGCCGCCGAGGUAGGGGAGAGCUGCUUGGGGAAUCAAUGGCUGUCGGACUUUCGCAGUAAACGUGCAAACGUAGGGGCAACAGCGGCAGUAGUGGCUGCACACACACACACACACACACACACACACACACACACACACACACAUGCACGGGUCGCAGCCGUGCACCACCACCUGAUUGGUGCGGCGGCGCAGGGCUCAUGUCGCGGUCCGUGCCGCACGUGCCGUUCCCAGGUUUUGUGUUCCUCGCCAUCCCCAGCUGGUCGUCGUCCCGACGAAGUCCCUGUCCGGCUCCAUCUCCUUAGCCCAGCGCCCCAGAGCUCGAGGGUCCCCGGCGACGACGGAUGGCGGUGGUCGUUGUUUCGUUUAACGACCGCCCCGUGCUCCUUUUCGUUUCUUCCCCAUGCCAUGGAGAUCACGAUCACAUCAGAGGGAGCCUGACCCAAAUAACAGCAUGGUACAAUAUUACUGUGGGGCUCUGCGCAGGCUGCAGCCGCACUCGCCGCCGCGCGCACCGGUGCUGCCCGGGUUCACGUCUCCCGUAGCGCGACCUACGCGGCCGCGCGCUCCCUGGACGACGCGUUCUUCAUCUCCGCCUCCCCCGACCGCGGCGGCGACGCGCUCCUCGUCCCCGCGCUAUCCCUGCCGGCCAAGAACGACGGCGCGACGCGGACGCCCAUGUGCGUGCACAAGGUGCCGUCGCGACGCCGCGCUCGUCGGGCCUGCACAGCGCGGGCUCGGAAUGGCGAAGUGGGUGCUCUUGCUGGCGGGGCAUGGAGGCGUGAGACCUGAGUCGUCAGGAGGACGGAGUCAGGGUCAGGCUCGCGGUGACCGGAGCCGGGGGAUGGCCAUGGCGAAGUCGUGCCCGCGGCGGCGGGUCAGACCUCUCCCUCACCUAGUCCGAUAAAUUCCUCCAUCUCCACCGUAGACUGUCCAUCCAACGGCACCAGGAGCCCGCAGCAUGGAGACUCCAAAAUUUUUCUUUUAACCCCCCAAAUGGAUCGCGACUAUUCGCGGUCCAAAAUAUUUAACCCUCUAAAAAUGGAUCUAAUGUUUUGCACUAGAACCUCCAGAAGGCUAAAACGUAUGGAUGUUUUGCAUCAAAGCCCCCCACCUCUGUUCGUCUUCCUAGCAAAAGAUGGACCUCAAUGGGGGAUGGCGGUGGCGUCGCUUUUGCCCACGACGGUGUCCGUGUAAGGCACGUGAGGGUGCGUUUGGUUGAGCUUUCCAACCUGCUUUUACUUUUACUUUUGCAAAAGCCAACCAAAAAGUCUAAAAGCCAUAGAUGUUUUAGCCGAAAGCUGCUUUUAUUUUAGUACAAAAUCAAAAACGCUUUCCCCCUGCUUUCAGCUACUUUUGGGGAAAAAAUUACCUACCUGCCACUGAUUAUGAAGAUACCGGUUCGUUUCCCUGUUUUAUUUCUCCGACUUCCGCACCAAUGCACCCAUCUGACUCCUCCCGCACAGGCGCACCCGUCCGCCUCUUCCCGUCGCCCCCGGCCACCCGCCCCAGCCGCCCACUGCUCGCCGCCCGCUGCACCCCGCCGCUCGCCGCCCCCAGCCGCCCGCCCCACCCUGCCGCACCCCGCCGCCCCCGGCCUCCCGCCCCAGCCGCCUGCCGCACCCUACUGCCCGCCGCAGGCGAGAGCUCCACCGUGGAGUGGACUGGCCAGCAGGAAGAAGAAGAAGGGACUAGCGAGCGGGACCCGCUCGUCAAUGAGAAAGGGAGAGUUGCGGCGAGAGCUCCACCGUGGAGUGGACUGGCCAGCAGGAAGAAGAAGAAGGGACUAGCGAGCGGGACCCGCUCGUCAAUGAGAAAGGGAGAGUUGCAGCGAGAGCUCCACCGUGGAGUGGACUGGCCAGCAGGAAGAAGAAGAAGGGACUAGCGAGCGGGACCCGCUCGUCAAUGAGAAAGGGAGAGUUGCGGCGAGAGCUCCACCGUGGAGUGGACUGGCCAGCAGGAAGAAGAAGAAGGGACUAACGAGCGGGACCCGCUCGUUAAUGAGAAAGGGAGAGAGUUGAGUGGGGUGGACUGCGGAUGACAUGUAGGGUCCACUCGAUAGUUUAUUCAAAAGCUACAGCUCCUCUAACCAAACGGCCUUCUGCUUUUCCCAUAACUGGUUUUCUACAGCACAACCAAACACACCCUGAAUUGCGGGUUCCCCAGCCACACCCUCCUAGCGGCUACCGCCUCCCCGUACUGGCGUACAAACACCGCUCCGCGGGCGCGCCACAUCCUGAGCCCAGCGAGCGGGCAGCCCUUCCGCGCCGCCGGCGAGGAAGUGGACGUGCCGGCUGCCCGGCUAGGGUGCAACUGGUGCGCGUGCGGAGACCAACAGAUUUGAAUAUGCUCUGAAGGCACUAGGGACCAGGUCUCCCGUCUCAAAGUUAUUGUACAGGGACGCAGCUGAAAAAAGGUUAGUGGUUGCUCUGUUGUCUUGUCUACCCUACCGUCCCUGAAGAACUGUCAUGGUCAUGGAGUUCUUGGAGGUCUCAACAUCACCUCCUUUUCCUUGCAGCUUAGAAUUUCUCUCUGCGAAGUACGCCGGCUGAUCGGGCGCCGGCAGUGACACGCUCCCGUUCUCCAGGAUGGACACGACAGAGGACAUGAGCGGCCUGCCGUUGGGGUCGUCCUGGACGCACAGGAGCCCGACGUGGAUGCAGAGCAAGAGUUCAUCCAACGCGCAGCUCUCCACGAUGGAUGCGUCUACCAGGUCACUUGCAUUCCCUUCCUUCCACAGCUUCCAUGCCUGAAAAAAGUAUCAAAUGAGUCCUCUAUUUCAUUUCUAAGAGAAAUGGUCACACAAAUCAUUCCAUGGUCUAUACUCCCAAGUGUUUCAGACAUACUGCACUGGCAAAUUCAGAUAUGUUUGUACUGUAUUCUUACAUAGGCUACAAGGCCCGGAGACCCCAUGAUGUCAUCAGUAGAGCUUAUCCUGACGCCACUUACAAUUUCCAGGACCAAUAUGCCAAAGCUAUAGACGUCAGACUUGACAGAAAAGACGCCCUCAGUUUGAUAUUCAGGAGCUAUGUAGCCACUAGUGAGAGUGAGACCAUCAGAAGUUCAGAGUCGUCAGACACAAACGAAGUCCAAUCAUAUGCAAAAUUCAGUUAUAGGAGGACAAAAUUGAAGUACUACUCACAAUGUUCCGACAACUCGCUUAGUGUUUGCCUUUUGCUGGUUUUCGCCAAAUAUCUUGGCCAUACCGAAAUCUGCUAUUUUGGGUCUCAUCUCUGCAUCCAACAAGACAUUGCUUGCUUUAAGGUCCCUAUGUAUCACUGUCAGCCUUGAAUCUUGAUGGAGAUACAGAAGUCCCCUAGCCACGCCCUUGAUGAUCCCGAAUCUUGUCGGCCAAUCCAGCAGAGAUUUCCUUUCGCUGUCUGCAUUGAACAACAAUACCAUAUAUGGGGAUAAUGUAUGCUUCAAUGUGACAUUUUAGCAGCUUCAGUUAUGAUGAGUGGAACAUACCGAAAAGGAUAGCAUCUAGGCCUUUAUUGGCCAAGUACUCAUAUAUCAGCAACCUCUCAGCUCCCUCUGUGCAGCAACCGAGAAGCCGAACCAAGUUCCGGUGCUGGAGUUUGGAGAUCAAAAUAGCUUCAUUCUUGAAUUCCUCUAUCCCUUGUUCAGAAUCCUUGCUGAGCCUCUUGACAGCAACUACACGACCACCUAAAAAUGUCCCCUUCAGAAUUAUAGAACGAUAACUAAGUAUUGACUCUUGAGUACUAUAAUUCAAUUCAUGGAUUCAGAUGGAAAAGGAUAUGCUGCAGAACCUGAUAGUACCUUGUAAACUUUGCCAAAACCUCCGCGCCCGAUCAUACAUUCUCUCGAGAAGUUAUCUGUUGCCGCAACAAUAUCACUGAACUGUAUGGAAGGGAAUUCAAGAUCUUCACUGGGGUUUCCUUCUCCAAGUUCACUUGAAGCGCGCACACUGCCAGGCACCAGCUUCUUCUCACUUUCACUGCUUCUUCUCUUACCUGCAAAUUGGUGUUAAACAGCAUUUCUUUUGUGAUAACAUGUACCUCCUUCAUUCCUGUGUCUAAGGCUAAAACAACAAAUAUUGUGAGAGCAUACAGAUAAAAUACAAAAUAAAUACCUUUGGAUCUGCAUUUACAAAACCAAACAAGGACACUGCAUGUGACUAUCAAAACACUUGCCAACACUGGCAGUAAAAUUUUCAGAGUUUUUGUCCCUCUCUUUUUGCCUGCACAAAUACAGGUGAAUGCUUCGUGACAAUUGCAAGAAGAUGCUUUUGCUGCCGGUUGAAAAUUGAGACAUUGAUGCGGCAGGAACAGAAAAGAAAAGCGAACCUGUGAAUCCGGCAGGAACCCGGAGGUUAAGCGUCUCGGCGGUCACGCCCCAGAAGGCGCCGAUCAUCUGCGUGUCGACCAGCUCCCCGGUCCACACCAGGCACCGCGCGAUGUCCCCCUUGGCGCUGCUGCUGCGCAGGCUCGCGUACGCGUACGCCUCGCAGGCGCAGUCCCGGCGGCACGCUGCGGCGCACUCGUCGCCGGAGGUCAUGUUCCCGAGGAGCACGAACUUGUCCGGCACCUUCAUGCUGGGCAUCGCCAAGAACGCAUCCCCCUCACCGCCGCCGCCGCACGGUGCCAGGGCCUGGCUCCGGCGGCAGCCCCGCGAGAACACGCCGCGGCUCCACUCCGCUCGGCUAGCGGGCUCGAAGCCGUCGAGGCACCUGCACGUCGCCGCGGUCUGCGUGUGGUGGCAGUAGCCGUAGGCGCCGCAGCUGCCGUAGGGGCUGCACCCGCGGCCUGGCAAGGACUCGAGCGUGGUCCACGCCGACGCGUUGCGAUUCCAGCUCAGCAGCUGGAACUUGCCGGCGCCGGUCACCACGUACCGCGUCGGCGGGGCGCCUUCGUUGACGGAGAAGGUCGUGUAGAUCUCCUCCUCACCGUCUACGACCGCCACGUAGAUGACCGUGCCGGUGGCGGGGUGGUACCUGCUUACGGUUGGGUACCCCGUCCAGGGCGUGCCGCGCCAGUAGAUACGCGUCCCGUUCCACAGCAGCAGCUGGAGCGACGUGUUCGGGUCCAUGCCGUAGGAGAAGCUCCCCGGCGAGGGGUCGCCGGGGCCCUUCCACGACACGAUGCGCCAGCCGUCGACCCCGUCGUCGCGCGUGCGGCGGCGCAGCCCGACCUUCAUGCCCGGGAUGAACGUGUCCGUCGGGUGGUCGAAGCUCUGCCACAACGGCUUCGCGGCGUUCGGCGACAGGAUGACGAGGUUACCGUCAUUCUGAAGCACCGCCGCCGUCGAACCAGUUGCAGAACCCGAGCUCAUGGCGGCGGUGAUGUUCGCCGUCCAGACGACGCGGCCGCUGGCGUCGGCCAGGACGAGGCUGGAGGUGUCGUUGGCCAGCGCAAGCGACGGCGCGGCGGAAGAGUUGCCGCCGGAACCCUCGCCGAUGAUGACCGGCGCGUCCCGGUUGGCGACCCACACCACGGUGCUCGCGGUCACGGUGAUGUUGUUGUACCAUAUGCCGAGGUACUGCCUGCCCGGCGCGGCGUCAGAGGGGGCGAAGAAGCCGAGCACGAAGGCGCCGCCGUUGGACACGAUGGUCUCACCGGGCAACAGCGACUCCCCGCGGGUCAGCUUGUCGCCGGCCGGCGAGCACAGGCGCGGCAAGAGGAGGAGGACGGCGGCCGUGAUGCAGGUGGAAGUGGAACGUGACCACUCCAUGGUCGCACGUCAUUCGGUAUGGUACCAAAGAGACAGAGACCAGUAUGUUCGUGCAGAUGAAAUACUCCUAACCUCGAGGCUUGGGCUGCAAGUGACCGUGAUAGAAUUCUAGAUUUCUAGAGCUCCCUUGGACUAGUUUCAGCGUACGGAGUUUAAGAGAAGGUCGGAGCUUGACGCUUGGGGAGUUAGCGCCAGGAGGACGCUUGCCAUUGGUGUGCCUACAUGGACAUGGCGACGGUAGCGGCCGGCGGUGAUGUGAGCCAAGAAAUGAGUGGUACACUGACUAGUCAUCUCUGCGUGUGUCACAACGAAAUCGUCACCAACAACUGCGUUGAUUUCUGGAUGGAACUGGGGACGAUGCGGCGACCGAGUUGGGGUGGAAGUGGAACCACGGUUUCUGGUGUGCGUUGCUUAUUCAGACAGCGACGUAGAGUUCUGCAGUGCUCUUCAAAGCAUGAUCUUACCUGAAGAUCACGAAGCGUGGCCAGGAAAGAAAGAAAAAUAAACAGGUGGUCUCCAAAUCUGAGGUUGAGUUCUGCACUCACACUUGUGCCCGUGGUGGUUCUGAAAUGUUCAGCAUUGCUAGAAACAAGGACCAGUCUGCAUGUGUCACGCAAGAUCAAAUCUUAACCAACACCAACCACCACACACACUGGAUCAGAGUUCUGAUUGGAACGAAGCUGGCAUGAUGCUGCAAUCGGAUACAAAGUCAGUGUGGAAGCACGGUUCCUCGCGUGCCUUUAUCAUAUCCAAUAAUUGCUCUCAGCUCGUGCUGCUCGAUGAAUUUCUUCAUACAUGAACAAUCCUUCUGAAAACUUUGUAGGCAACGAAAUCCAGGUUCACCCAUUAUGUAAGAAAAAAAGAAUUGUCCUUCCAAUUAUCAUCACAAAGAGUAAAAAUGAAACACCAUUAGUCAACUCUAUUUGUUCAAAUUCAGUUCUUUCAUAUUCUUUUGUUUAUUAUGAUAGGAAAAACAUAAUAUCCUACAGCUGUUGAGAUUUCUAACAUAACCGAAAAUAAAAUUGAAAAUUAAGAGAAUGGCUUCCAAACCACAAAUGGUGAUGGAGCCUUAAGCAAUACUAUCUAUCUUGGGCAGUGUUUCCAAACAUCAUAAAAAGGUUAUCGUCCCUCUAUAUUUGUGAGAGUAAGGGAAUUCAUGGAAUUUUCAGUUCUGUCCCUAAUUUGCUCCAGAUCACUGCUCCUCUGUCCAUAGUGCCCAGGGUUGUUGGGUGCUGGCAGUGUGGUGCUUCCAUUCUCUAGAGUGAACACAACAGAUGACAUAAGUGGUCUAUCAUCUGGGUUUUCUUGAACGCACAAGAGUGCCACAUGACUGCAAAGCGAAACUUCAUCUAGCAAACAAGCAUCCGUAAUGGAUUGGUCUGCUAAAUCUCUCGUCUUCCCCUCCUUCCACAUGUUCCAAGCCUGAAACAAUCAAAACAAUUAUUUGGAUUUAUGGUAAGCGAGAACAUGAAGACUCUGAUUUUAAUCAGUUACAGCUCCAUAAAAGGCAUAUACUCACAUAGACUAUUAGGUUCGGAGAACCUAUAAUGCUACUAACAGAACUUCUCUUUAUACCAGUAACAAUCUCUAAGAGUAGAACACCAAAGCUAUAGACAUCGGACUUGAUGGAGAAGACGCCUUCCAUUGCAUACUCCGGAGCCAUGUAGCCACUGUUUGAUCAUUUCACAUGCACAUACUAUUGAAUGAAAGCUGAAUUUAGUUACUUUUUGUUUGGAAAAAUAUAAAUUGUUACUUACUAUGUCCCAACAAUACGAUGCGUGUUUGCAUCUUUCUGGCUAUCAUUGAAUAUCCUUGCCAUGCCAAAGUCUGCUAUCUUUGGUCUCAUAUCUGCAUCUAGCAAAACAUUAGCAGCUUUGAGAUCUCUAUGAAUUAUGGUCAAUCUUGAAUCUUGGUGGAGAUAGAGAAGUCCUCUUGCAACCCCUUUGAUUAUAUUGAAUCGUGUAGGCCAAUCCAAUAAUAUCUUCCUCGAAUUAUCUGCAUGAAGAGAUUCUGUAUAACACAAUUUUUAGCUUUUAUGUGCUAUUUAUAAGAAUUUAUGGCGUGUCACAUACCAAAGAGGGUAGCAUCUAAGCUUCCAUUAGCCAAGUAUUCAUAAAUAAGGAUUUUCUCAUCAGCCUCAACACUGCAACCAAAAAGUCGAACCAAAUUUCUAUGUUGCAAUUUAGCAAUUAGAAUUACUUCAUUCCUGAAUUCUUUUGUUCCUUGCUCAGAAUCCUUGCUUAACCUUUUGAUGGCAACUUCUUUACCACCUAGCAUCGCCUUCAGAAAAAGUAUAAGGGUGAAAGUCAGAUUUGAGGCUUGGAGCUCAUUAUUACAAUUAACAAAAAUCAAUAUAAUUAGAUGACCAGAACUAAUAAGAGGAAAUCACCGCAGAAUUAAGUAAUUACCUUAUAAACUUUACCAAAACCCCCCUGCCCAAUCUUACAUGCCUCUGAGAAAUUGCGUGUUGCAGCCACGAUAUCCUCAAAUCUAACAGAGAAGAAUUCAAAGUCUUGGGCAUGGUUUCCAUCCCCAAGUUCAUCCGAUGUACUCAUUUCAUCCAAAAUUAGCUUCUUAUGCUUUGCCCCGUAUCUUAUUCUACCUGUUUCCAUAAUUCUAUAACCAAAUGCUUGAAAUAUAGAUUUGUAAGAAACUAAGAAUGGAAAUAUGUUGAGCUCUACCUUUGAACUUGAACCAUGCAAGGGAAAGGGCUGCGAGGAUCAGAAGACCACUUGUCAAAACAGCAGGGAGCACAGUCUUCAGUGCUUUGCUCUUCGCCCUCAUCAUACCUGUGGUAGCUUUACAAGUCAAAAAAAAAAGAAAAAAAAGAAAAGAAGACCUAUUUGAAGUCCCCACAAAUUCCACAUGGAACAUUUGAAUUUCUGUUUUAAACGAGAAAGGGAUCCCAGCUUUCCAAAUGUGGGUUUCAAAGUUUCCUGAAUAGAAUCAUAGAUAGAUGAGAAGAAAGAAAAGGUCGAUCUGUUGCACGUAUACCUGCAUCCAAGCCUGCAAUCCGGAGGUACAGCGUUUCGCUGCCAGCAUUGACACCUAUUUUCUCCGUGUCAAUCAGCUCUCCUGUCCACACCAAGCACCUCGUCACAUCCCCCUUGAUUCUGCUAGUGCUCAGAUCAGCAUAAGCAUACGCCACACACGAACAGUUUCUGGUGCACUCGGCUGCGCACUCCUGGAAUGUUCGGUUCUCGACGAGCACGAACUUAUCCGGCGAUUUCAUCCCCGGCAAGGCCAAAAAACCGUCGCUGCACUGCAGCGCCUCCUUUCGCCGGCACCCUGGAGAGAACCUGCCGCUACUCCACCCCUCUGGAUUGGCAGGCGCGAAACCGUCGAGGCACUUGCACGUCGAUGGAUUCCCAUCCCAUCUGUUGUCGCAGUAGCCGUUCGGGCCACAGUAGCCGUAGCGGCUGCAGUAGCCGCCCGUCCAUUCGGAGAGGACGGCCCAUGCGGAUGAGGCGCUGUUCCAGGUUUGGAGCUGGUACUCGCCGGAGUCUGUGAGCACGUAUCUGGUAUGCGCGGCGCCGGGUGAGAGGCUGAAGGUUAUGUAGAUCUCCUUCUUGGUGUUGACAACGUUGAGGUUGACGAUGACGCUGAUGACCAUCUGGAACUGGACCUGGACGGAAAAGGAGUCGCCCGUCCAUGGCCCACUGCGCCAGAUCGGACGCGUUGCGUUCCAGACGAAGAUCUGAAGGAACGUUUCUGGGUCCCCGCCGAAGGAGAAGCUCCCCGGGGAUGGGUCGUCGGGGCCCUUCCACGAGACCAGGCGCUUGCCGGCGCGCGUCUCGUACCUGAUUCGGAUCCUCAUGCCGGGGAGGAACGUGUCGGCCGGGUGGUCGAAGCUCUGCCACAAGUUGGUGCCGUCCGGUGACCAGAUGACAAGGUUUCCAGUGUCCAUAAGCACAGCGGUAGCGUUCCCCGCAGCUGCACCGGUGACGUCUGUCGUCCACAGAACAUGGCCGUCAGCGUCUGACAGGACGAGGUUGGACGCGUUGGUCAGGGACAGCGCUGGUGGAGAGGACGUGGUGUUCGUGACGGGGAUUUCUCUGUUGGCGACCCACACGACGGUGAGCCGGGGGAUGUCGUUGUACCAGAUGCCGAGGUACAGCUUGGCCGGGGUGGAGUUGGUGGGGGAGAAGAAGCCCAAGGCGAAGCUGCCGCCGUCGGAUACGAUGGUGGCGCCAGGGGAGAGCGGCUUGCCGGGGACGAGCCGGUCUUCGGUUGCACACGGUGGCGGCGGCAGCAGCAGGAGGACGAGGACAGUGGCGUACCUGAUGAUAGCUGGCCAAGCCAUCAUGCUACUAUGCUAGCACCUUUCCUUGCAAUACUUAGCUAGCUUGUUGGUCUGUUGGUCAUGGAUCAGCAACGAAACUGGAGGUUUCACUUGAAAUGAAGGUAUUGCUGUCUUGAGCCUUGGUCUACUGGCAAACGAUGUCAACGGCUAAACCAACAAAAAAAAA
RNAcentral lists this long non-coding RNA (71013 nucleotides) under Setaria italica (foxtail millet). RNAcentral's name for it is "long non-coding RNA (SITA_LNC001525)". The record is from RNAcentral. Lineage: Eukaryota; Viridiplantae; Streptophyta; Magnoliopsida; Poales; Poaceae.